UGUGACUUCAAGUAUUCUUUAAUGCUAGCUAAUUGUUAUCACUUGUAUGUCUAGGGUUUGAUCAAUACAAUGAUCCCUUUGAAAAUUGUGUCUUGGGUCACUAUCAAGUUUCAAUUUUGAAGAUUACCCAGUUUCAGUUAUAGGAUUCUUGAGAUUCUUGUACUUUAAAGGUUGAAUUUUUUAUGGGUUUUGAGUAUUUUUAAGUUUGUGUGUGCAGCUUGUUCACUUGGUUACUGAGGUCCGAGGUCUUCGUUUUUAUUGUAAUAUUGGGUUUAGUGUUUGUAUUUUUUCCUAAGUGAAUACAGUUGUUAAUCAUAGACAGCUUGUGGAGAAAUUGUCAUGUCUUAGCUUGUAUUUUAUAGACUGAAUCAUCGGGAUGAUGGGUCACAGAAUUGGUCAGCAUUUGAAUUUUGAACAUGUUCAGGAAUGCCUAUUUAUAUAUAAUUACUAAUUGCAUAUUAUCCGAGUCUGAAGUAUUUGAGUUAACACGAAUUUGAAUCUUGGGAUUCUGUUAAUGCACUGCAUUGGUGCAUUUAAUUCAAACUUAAUUUCUUUUUUGUGUGACAUAGGAAAAAAGAGAGAGAUUUCUGACAUUCAAUUUAAAAGUGAUAAAUCUUUUUUCGCUGCUGGCGAAUUCAAAUAAAAAUAUAAAGCUGCCGUUCAAGUCAGUUCCUCUGCCAUUAUAAAAAUUUUAUCUGUACGUUGAAUUAAGUCAUGCUUAAGUUAUGCACUAGACACUGUCAUCAUUUUGGUAGAGCAAUAAAAUUCAAAUUCCUUAUAAGCUUAUGCGUCUGCAGGAUAACGUUAUUCAUUAAUACUGAAUAUUACUGAUGCCAUUGUAUAUACUAUAGUAAAGAAAGUUCCAAAUCAGUUAUGCUUGCAAUUCAAUCUGUUUACACUAAAUUCAAAGUAUUGAAUUUUCUGUGUGCUACCUUCAUUAGUCACUUACCUUUGUACCUUAUUUUAUAUGAUAACAUCAUUCUUAAUUGUUGGUGGUGGCAUUGACUCUUGAUUUUAUCUUAUUGACUCGAGCUUUCUAAGCUUAUUCACUUGUAAAAAUUCAUCAUCAAACUAUAAAAUAAAUUUGUCCUGGAUUCUCACAAUAGUUAUAUUUAAUAAAUCCCACCUUUUGCUUUCAUUAAAAUAAUAGCUCUUUAUAUUAUAAUCUAUGUCCUUUGGUUUUCUUUGAGUAGUAAAGAUUCAAUUUUAAAUUUUUUACCUGUGAUUUUGUUGGAAUUUUGUUGCCUUAGAUUUCAAGUGCUUGGAUUGUAUUGGAUUGAUAAUACUGUUCUCUAAUAUGCAGAACCUUACAAACUUGUUUUUACUUAAGUUUUAGACAAUUAAAUCUUAAUUUUGGUGUGCUCUCUAUAUACAACCUAUAGUAAUCUUAGCCCUUUUGGGAUUUCAGUUCUGUAAGUGACAUCUGAACUCAUAUUUAAAAAAACUUGUGAAAGUUAAACACAUGUUUGUGGUGAAAUUGGCUGCCUUAAGCAACAUUCAUUCUUGACUUUGUAACUAGUUCCGCUUGCUUUGUAUCGAUUCCUUGAGCUGAUCUAUCUAGAUGGCAACCCACAUGUAGUUCUGAUGGUUGUCUUCUGACCAGGCUGAUAGCCUCAUCAAUGGUCUCUUCUUACGCUAAGCCUAUGAGUUUGCAUUAUACAUAAUUGUAGACCGGAAAAUUUGACUCGACGUUGUAGUACUGAUUAUUUGUAGGUACUAUUAAUAUACACAUUGAUUUUUGGAGUGGUGGGACUGUUCGUAGAUGAAACAAAAAUAUAAGUUACUAAAGAGUUUCUGGGUUAAAUUGGCGCAAAACAGGGAUAUUUAGUUGCCAUGAUUUGUCAGCAAUUUGUUUUCACUCUAAAUAGUAGAAUUGCUCUUCCAAAAAACUUUGGUAUUGUUAUAGUUUUGUGGAGACAAGGACAUGUAUAUAUGAUAGAAGGGGGAAAGUUGAAUAUUUGUCAAAAAGGGGGAAAAGUUGUACAUGAACCAGUAGAUCAAUAGCGCCAAAUGAGAAGUCUAUGAGCCUUCUUGAUUUUCUUUUGUGAGUUGGAUGUGAGAUGGUUGUGUUUUUGACCCUUUUUAUUUGAGAAUAAUGUAUUUGAAUGGAUUAUUCAGGUGUAAGAAUAAUAUCGGCAGAAGUGAAAAACUGUUUUUAGAUUUACAAAACACUUUUUUUACGUUGUUGUCUGCGACAACAAUAGCACACGGGGAUUUAGACUUCUUAUGAGGUUCUAAUCUUUGUUAUACGGACAUGGGCCACUUGUUAGCAUUGUGAAUAUUUUCAUAGCCUAUAUUCUUGUUUAAUUUAUGUCCAUAAUCCCAUCACCUUAAAAGAAAAACACUUUUCUCCAAGCUAAUAAACACCUGUGUUUGAAAUACACUACGAUGUGGUCUUAAAUUUGCUUGUUGACGGAUAUGUUUACAACAAACUCUUAGGCUCUGUAGGCAGUGCUCUUAACAAAGAUAGGUUCUACGAGGCUACAAAAUUUUUUAGACUGAAAACUGACAUCAGAAGUUUGUAUGGAUUUGUCAUCAAGAUGGUUUGUGAAAUGGUGGAAAACGAACUGUUUGAAAGUUAAGGACACAUUUUGCUCAAGUCUGAGAAAGUCUCCACAAAUGUGUGCUUAAAUUUUAGAAUGUUUUUUAUUUUGGUGGCUGGCUGUGCACCAAGAUGUCAUUAAAAAAAUUGAAGUCCUAGAUGGUCUAAAAUAUUAUGUUCAUAUUUGAAAGUCGCCCUCUAAUUCAGUAUCUAUUUCGUCUUACAUUUGAAUUCUAUUUGUAAAUCAAAGCCACGCUCUAGUAGACAGUGUUAUAAUCCAUGAAUACUAUAGAGUCCAAACUCCAAAGCAUGUAUCAUAUUUGCUGACAUCCACGAAUUAAAAGCAUGUAUCGUAUUUGCUGACAUCCACGAAUUAAUGUUAUAUGCUAAUCCCUAUGACAUUAUACUAUGCGGUUAUGGUUUCAGUAAGUUCGCUCAAUUUAUGUUGAACUCGGAAGUGUUGAAUUUUUCGGUGCACUAGCUUGAUUUGAUUGUCUUACCUUUAUGUCUUAAAAUAUAUGAUAAUGUUACGUGUAAUUAUUGGUGGUUUUAGGUCUUGAUUUUAUCCUAAUGGCUCGUGUUGAGAAGCUAUUUGACUCAUGUAAAGUCCCUGUUAAAUUAUAAAUCAAAUUUGUCUUAGAUUCCCACCUGCAAAUAUAAAUUAGUAAAAUUCACUUUUUUGUUAAAAUCUCAAAAUUAGCUCUUUGUUGUCCUAUGCUUUUCUGUAUGUAGUAUAUUUAUCCGCAAAGAGCCUAAUUUGCAUGUUUUAUAUUUUGUGUGAGUGGUAGAUAUUGGUUUUGUUGUGCUAAUGAUGCUGUUAUGCAUUUUUGUUGCCUUGGACUUCAGUGCGAGGACUGCUAAAGGUUGCUGUUCUCUGACAUGCAGAGCUUUAGAACAUUGUCAACACUUUUUUUAUAUCGUCUUUUUUGUUAGUAAAUGCACAGACAUAGAUUUUGAGAUUUGGCAAAUGUUUUCUGGUGCACGUCAAUAAUCAGCAGCAUGGAUUUGAAUGUUGUGCCACUGCCGGAUGACGAGGAUGAUACAUUUGAACAGCAUUUUGAAGAUUACAGAGCAUCAGGAAAGCAACAUUUAAAUCACGCAGAACAUGUUGAGAGUGCAGUUGAUAUAUUACGCAGGGUACGCCACCCCCUCUCUUUGGAAUCUUUUACAUUGAUUGUUCCUGUGGUUAACAUGCUUUGUUGGGGAUCCUGAUUGCCUAUCCUUUUAAGGAAUCCAACUAAAGCUUACAGGUGGAGAAUGGAUUCGGAAGUCUGUAAACUAUUAUUCAAAGAAUGAGAAACAUCCAGAAAAUACAUGUUUGAGUCUUACAUUUCUUUUACAAGGAAGUAUAGGAAAAGAAGUCCUAAUAACUAAAAUAAAAUGUAUGUUGGGUACCAUCGUUCGAAUUUUGAUAAACAUGCAGUUUUAUGACUGAAUUCCUCUGUAGCUAUUCUCAUCAGGCUAGCUGUAUAUGAGUGAUUUGAUUGUGUUAAUUAUACUUGCUCGAUCUAUCAGGAGCGUGAAGAAAGACGUCAGCGAAUGAAAAGAGAACGACCAGAUGAAAGAGCGAGUAAUGCAUCUCAAACUGCAAGGAAUGACCAGAUGUCUCAAGCAAAGCACCAUAAACCUUCUGAUAGAAACAAGCUUCCUCCAGGUGAGUAUGCAUUUAUUUAUCGAUUGUUUUUGUUGGUUGUACUUGGUAUUAUCAUUUAAAUAGUAUUUAGAAUACGUGUUACUGCUAAGAUCAGUGUUUAUCUUGAAUGCGUUUAGGUUCUAAGUUUUGCUUUUUUGAUAAGAUGUCUGACAUUCUAACCUCUUUUUAUUUGUGUGCUAUCUUGAUCACACUCUUGUAUAACUUGCUUUUUUGUUUGUUGUAGGUUGGUUGGAUUGCCCUGCAGCUGGUCAUGAGAUUGGUUGCAUUAUUCCUUCAAAAGUCCCACUUGGGGAAGCCUUUAAUGACUCGGUUCUUCCUGGUAAAAGAUACUCUUCUAGGCAAGUGAUCCAUCAACAAAGAGUUUUAGGAAGAAAGGCAAGUGUACUGAGUUUUUCUUUCACUUUCUUAUUCUGCAUCUUGAAAGUAUCUGUGAAGUUUGAAGCUUUAUUCUUCUAAAUGAAAACUAAUACCAUUUCCUGACAAAGAAUCUGGUAUUGACUUUCGAAUAUUAUUAUGAGAUAUUUAUUUGUGCUAUUGGUCUUUUUCUGUCUUCCUACCUUAAUAUUUUGAAUAUUGGCAAGGCAUUAUGGUUUUUAUGUCUAUUUAUUGUUGGGUAAUAUUAUGCAUGUAAAAUAUCGUUCAUGACUUGUAAGCCAAGCAUUGUGACCCUGCUUAAGAUAAUCGUAUUACUUAUAUUACAAGAGAGUAUUUCUUUUGACUUAAAAUACCUGAGUUGAAUCAAACCAUUGUCAUAAAUGAAUAUUACUCACUUGUUUAUUAUCGUAAGCCAACAUAUGCCUGCAGAGCCCAGAGCUGAGUAGUGAAAUAGCUUGCGCUAAUUAGCGUAAUUUGCUAAGUAUUGAAUAGUUUUUUGCACAAGAAAGUCUACUGAAAUGCAGCUGAACAUCUGUCAUACAUACUAAGCUAGUUGCUUGUUUCAGCUUGGUUUAAUAAUUGAUCUUACGAACACCAGUCGUUAUUACCUGGUGACUGAUUGGAAGAAAGAAGGCAUCAAACAUGUUAAGGUACGUAAUGGCGACUUCCUUGUCGCACUUGUGUUUCAAUCUUUCCUUCUUUCUCUUCCCAAUUAUUUUUCUUUGUUUUUGGAUGAAAGAAAGAGCACGAAAGAAGCAUCUUAAUUCCCAUCUUAUAGCGUGAAGUGGCCCCGGGCACGUCUGGCUCACCAGUUUUAUUCCCACUAGAUUCUGUUGUAGUUGGAAUUCUUAUAGUUGCUCAUCUUUCAGAUUUCCUGCAAGGGGCGUGAUUCUGUUCCUGACAAUGAAGCUGUAAAUCAGUUUGUGUAUGAGGUAAAUUUCUUGUUUUCACCUUUUUUAAAAAAGAGUAAUUUUGUGUUAGUAACUCUAUUAACCAAUUUGACCAUAACUAUUUUACUGAAAUUUUUAUGAAUAAGUUAUAAGGACUAUAUAAGAGUGUCGCCAAGGCAUGUGCACACCUGCAAUCACACCCCUUCACUGCUUUCUUUUAGCUAUCCUGCCCUUCGAGUUCCAAGAAGGUAGAUCAUAGCACAAAUGUGCUACCUUGUAAAAUUGCUCAUAACAUUUUUAUUUGUCCAAUUAUUAGGUUUCACAAUUUUUAGUCCGGCAAAAGCAGUCAAAGAAGUAUAUUCUUGUUCACUGUACCCAUGGGCAUAACCGUACAGGUUUUAUGAUAGUUCACUAUCUCAUGCGUUCACUACCUAUAUCUGUCACUGAGGUUGGUUGUUUAAUUCUUUCAAUUUUUUUAUGUUGCUUGCCUCAUGUAAAUAGUCCUAGGUUUUGGAGUGAUUCACUUGCAUGAUGUAGGCUAUCAGAAUAUUUGCCGAAGCGCGUCCGCCAGGAAUAUACAAACCAGACUAUAUUGAUGCUUUAUAUACAUUCUAUCAUGAAAGGAGGCCCGAUGUCGUUGUUUGUCCUUCAACCCCAGAUUGGAAAAGAUCUGAACUUGAUCUGAAUGGUGAUGCAAUGCCAGAUGAGGAUGAUGAUGGUGGCCCUGCUUCUCCAGUACAUGUAUGUGGCGAAAGCAGUUACGGACUUGUCAUAUUUGGCUGCAUGUCUUUGCCACAAUACCAUGUCAAGAUAAAACUUUUUGUCAUAUUUUAUAGUAAUCUGAAUGCAUCACCCUCCACCCUACCAAAUGAAUAUAACUUUUUGUGGUUGUCCCUCCACCCUAUUAAAUGGAGUUUUAGCCAACAACUUAAAUGUUUUCACUAGUCUGAUCUUUUUAGGUUUUUAAUUGUGCUCAUUUCUCCGGUUUAUUUGAUGUACUAAUAAUGCACAUUGUUUUGCAUGUUGCUCUGUUCAUAUCUGUCUCAGGAGAAUCAUGGAGUAGCUUCAGUUUACUUGAUGUACUACUGCUACACAUCGUUUUACACUUUCUCAUUUUCAAUAUCUGUCUCAGGAAAAUCAUGAAAUAGAGGGAUCGAUGACAAAUGAUGAUAUUUUGGGAGAUGGUAUCCCUUCUGACCAGCAAGAAGCAAUGAGGCAGUUUUGCUAUCAGUCGCUGAAAUUGGGUGCUGGGGUAAGAGCUUUAUUCAAUCUUAAUAUACUUUGAAUUUGAUCAGGGUAUGUCAAUGUCAUUGCUUGUAAUUAUUCACCUUGCAUAUUGCUUCUAAAAUUAUCAAGGGUGUGCUGUUAUCUUCAGUAUUGCAUUUGGGGCAUAUUGACUCUUCAAAUUGUCUAUAUAUCCUAGAAUGUAUUUAAUAGCUUUCCUGGUUUUUCUUGUAUAAUUCCUUGCGACUCUGCUCUUUCCCUCAAAUAAGCCACCACAGAAUGUUCCAUGNAAGAAUAAUUAUCUUGGUAUGUCCCAACAGCCAAAGUUGCAUGCCAAGUGUUUGGGAGUGUAAUGAUAUCAUUUAUUCUAGCUUGUACUACUCAGUGAGAUUAUAAUAUGUCCCUCACUACUCACUAGGCUAUGCUGUAUGUUUUUUGACAAGCUCGCAUCCUUCUAAAGAUAGGCAUUUUUAAGUUUCUACAGAAGUGGUGAUAACAUUCAAAGCUUCAACGUUGAUUGAACUUUCAAAUGUAUCUUUUGAACUUGUGAUAAAAGAAUAUGUCCUUGUCUAAAUAUUUCAAUCUAUAGGUGUAUGGUAAGUAUUCAUCUUGUAAGAUAAAAUUAGGUGUUUGUCACUUUUUCUUACCAGGCUCAGUAACAAAUUUAUGCCUUCAAAGUUAAAAGAGUCAAAUGUACAUGAUAUCUCAUUGUAUAUUCUGUAGCUGAAUGAGUCUGACAAUUUUAAACUGCACCAAAAAGCUCAAUUAUCAGAACUCAGUUAUCAGACAUCUGACAUUCUGACUUUUUCACUAAUUUUACUGCUCGUAAUAUCUUGGCUGCAAUGUUGUUAUGUGCUUGCCUUGUUGGGUGGUGUCAACCCAAGUACCACUUUGAGGCAAGAGAUAUUUUCUUGUAUAUAGAGCAGCCACUAGGCUCCAAUAAUAUGAGGGUUUUUUGGAUGUGUCCAAAAACAAAUCUGUGCGGUCUUGAUUCAAAGCGGAUAAUAUCAUACUAUUAUGGAGUUUAGGUGCUUGCAGCCCAACAUGCCAGUUUCAAGGAAGCUAUAAUAUGUUUUUGUUUGCAGGUAAGAGGCCACUCACAAUUUCCAGGAUCACACCCAGUUUCACUCAACAGGUCUACUUGGCUUUAACCUUGUAAAUCUGUUUAAAUUUUUAUUAACUGGAAGUCCUUUUAUCUUUUAAGUUAAUAAUAUGUUAUGUAAUAUAAUCUCUUCACUUGAACCAAGGUUCGCUAGGAGAGAGGAGCUAAAUGAAGUUAAUGUACUCCCUGUAUUACAUCGGAUGAAUUCUACAAUAUAUAUCAAAAGAUUUGCAUUUGAUUGCAUAUUUUCGCAGUUUGAUUGGUGCAAAAGGAAUUGAUGGGUUUGCAAUGUUUCCUUUAGUGUCACAUGUAGACCAUUAGGAAUAUAAAUUAUGAGUUAGACGAUUGAAAAUAUGAUUUACGGCGUCUGAUAGUAUUAAGAAGCUAUAAUUGGUAUUGCUCAUCUUGCAGAAAAUUACAAUUGGAGCUGUUAAAUUGCUUCUGUUUCAUCCUCAAUAUGUUUUUUUUAGUGAGAGAAGAAUCUACUCAUAGAAGUUCUCAAGAGGGAAUCGUGGUGCAUGUUUAAGUCUAAAAGAUAAGAUAAAAAUUGAAAGGACUAUUUCUUAAUUAUCUACUGUAUAAAGAGUUACGCUAAGCUGUUACAUAGGAUCUCAUGUACCAACAUGAAUUGGAUCGCUUUGACUGUUCAGAUAUUUUAGUUUCUCCAUACUCUGGAGUUAUGGAACAACUGAUCAGAUUCUACAUGAAUUUGGCUCUUUAGGUCAUCUUAGAUUUUUAAAUUGUUACAUUUAAGGUCUUUCUGAUUGUUAUAUCUGUUUAUCAACUUUUUCAUCUGUUUUAUAACUCUACCUACUUUGCUUUUCUAGUGACAACUUACAGUUGUUAAGGCAACGGUAUUAUUAUGCUACAUGGAAAGCCGAUGGAACACGUUACAUGAUGCUUAUUACUAUGGAUGGGUGUUACCUAGUGGACAGGAAUUUUACUUUUCGACGGGUCCAAAUGAGGUUUCCUUGCAAGCCUACUAGUGAGGUGUGUGGGCAUAUAGGUUAUAAGAUAUUAAAAAGUUCCUGUCUGUUGCCUAGAACCUUAUAGAUAUAUGUUCAGACUUCAGUGUCAUUUGACCUUGAAUUAUAUGCAGGGGCUAGCAGAUAAGACCCACCACUUCACUCUUCUUGAUGGGGAGAUGAUUAUCGAUACUUUGCCGGACUCACAUAAGCAGGAAAGAAGAUAUCUGAUAUAUGAUAUGAUGGCAAUCAAUCAAGUCUCUAUCACAGAGGUAAGCAUAGACAGAAUUUCAUAUUUACUUAAGGGUAGGCACAACUCUCCAUGUGACAACAAUAGUUAUUCUUCAUUUGCCUUCAUUUACUUUGUUGCUGUGUAAAAAUAUUUUUUUUUAAACAAUUCACUUUGGUGUCCACCUUGUCUCUUUUUGUGCGAACACCUGAGUGGCUGAGUUUCUUGGGCCCUUGUACUUUUAGUAUUUUAACUAUUAGAAUUAUAAAGCUAAAGUUAUGACCAAAUUAUAUGCUCUAUUUUGAAGAGCUCUGCAGGAGAAAUGCAUGUAUGUUUUUCAUAUUUCAGUUGCACAGGUGUCCUUUUAAAAAAAAAAAUAUAUGUAUAUAAAAAACCUUUGAUUGCCAAUUUUGCCAAUGUAACACGUAAUAAUUUAUAUAUGACUUCUGUCUUUCUCAGUUGUGCUAUUUGAUUAUCCUACAUAGUAUAGUAUACUUUAAUUGAACAAUGUAUAUUGAUUGAAAAUUUAUGCAGCGUCCCUUUUACGAACGUUGGAAGAUGCUUGAGAAAGAAGUUAUUGAACCCCGGAACCAUGAGCGCCAUAACAUAUAUCAUAGUAGAAAUCCUAACUACAGAUAUGACUCAGAACCAUUCAGGGUAUAUUGAGUUAAAGUGACUGUUGUUCAAUCUCCAAAUUUAUAAUGUUUCAGGAUGGCUUAAUGGUUUGUUAAUGUUGGCAGGUUAGAAGGAAGGACUUUUGGUUGCUUUCAACUGUUACCAAACUUUUGAAGGGAUUUAUUCCAAAGCUUUCACAUGAUGCAGAUGGCCUUGUUUUUCAGGUGGAAAAUCUUCCACUCUAGAAAAUGAUGCGGCAUCAAUGCUAACAAUAUUCUUGAAAUAGUGUCUGUUAAUGUGAUGUGGUUUAUUUUAAGCCCAAUGUCUCUUGAAUGAGGGUUUUUUUCCAUACCGAAUGGCUUGUUUGCAAUAUUUUGUAUCCUGAAAUGGCAAACACUUCUUGUGCAAUGUUUUUCAAUAUAUCGGAUUGCUUUGUAGGGUGUUGCAUCUGAUUAUGGCUUUUUAUUUUAUUAUAAACGAUGACUUAUUAUGCUCUUCAUAUGCUAGGGUUGGGAUGAUCCUUAUGUCCCUCGUACACAUGAAGGACUUCUGAAGUGGAAAUAUGCAACAAUGAACUCAGUUGACUUUCUGUUUGAGGUUUUUAUCGACAACUCGUCUUAGUAGAUAGUGUUUAUUGUUGAAUAUAACAUAAUUCAACCAAGGCCACCUCAUAACACCCUAAGGUUUUGGGAGAGUUGGUUACUUAUGAUUAAUCUUCAAAAUUUACUACAAGUCUUAGUUAAUAUCUGAACCUACUUAUGUGGACAGAUGGCUGACACGCGCCAGCUACUAUAUCUCUAUGAGCGAGGAAAGAAAAAGCUGAUGGAAGGGAAUAAGAUUGUUUUCAAUGGUUGGUGUGUUUCUCCUGUUUACAUAUUUUCCUGUUGCCAACAUAUUGUUCGUUAGAUUUUGCAAUAUCUGCACAGUUGGGAUUUGAUUAAGUUGGCCUGUUUAGUGCACCUGGUUACUGGAUAGAGUGAAUGAUUGUGUGGUAAUGUCAACCCCCCCCCCCCCCCCCCCCCCCCCCCAAAAAAAUAUAUGUAAUUGUAAGUUUAUUGUUGCUUAUGUAUUCGAAUGAGUGGUAAAAACAUAUGGUUCAAUCUCUUGCUAGUUCUAUAAACACCACAUCUUCCGAAGGCAGCUUCGUUCAAAGAAGGAGGUCUAUCAGUACAUUAGAUAUGGCUUUGUUUCAAAGAAUUCCAAGGAACCAAGUUCAUCACAGGCCCCUCUCAACAUUGUUGUAAGUUACAUGCUCUAACAUAAACAUACUUAUAUAUAGUAGUAUAUAUACAUACUGCAUAAUAUAUAUGAUAAACCUUGCACCCAGCCAAAUCCGAGAAGGGAAAUGAGUCAGAAAGAAGAGGUGGAAGCAUUUCUUGCUGACUCGUGGGAGAAUCUUACCCCCCCCCCCCCCCCCCCCCGGUCCAAUGUUUAUGAAAUUUUUUAAGAUUUACUGGGGAAAGAACAUCUUUAAGGCGUCUAUUUGGACUUCUUCACAAGUCACAGAACUUCCCAAGGGCUGGAAUUUGACGUUGAGUAGGCCCCCAUAGGGAAAUGAUACUUGACGUGGCAAAAAGAAGUUUUACCACUCUAUGUGUGAUACUAAAUAGUGGUUGUCUAGAAUCCUUGUGUUUUAAGUCUGGAAUCUGUCCUAGUUUACAGCUAUAUACGAGUGAUCUUGUUGAUUUAGGUAUAGAAAGGUUGCAUUCAUUACGUCUAUUUCACCAGUAAUGGGAGCAUUUACUUGCAUGAUGAAGAGUCCAUGUUACACUAAGCUUGAUCAUCUAAGCUCUCUGGAUUUAACUUUAUGAAUAAACUUUAAAUUUUCCACUUAUUUUUGUGGCAAAUAUUAAUUCUCAAAUUUUGGUCACUAAAUUUGUGGCCUAACAUGUCGGGUGAGCUUUUUAGUGCAAAAAUUCCCAACUUGUUGGCCACUUCAUUUUCAACAAUCACUGAAGGACGUGACAGCUAGAGGUGGCCAAACGGGCGGUUUGGCUCGGCCCGAACCGGACCGAACCGCCAUUUGACCCGUAAUUUAACGUGCCGGUUUUAACCCGGCACGAACCGGCACAAACCGUGAAAGGUUACGGUUCAGAGAACUGCAAUUCGCAAACCGGCACGGCACGGCCCGGUUGGGAAUCCGCACAGACCGGCACGCCAGCCCGCGUCGACCCGCGGUUUGAACCGUGAAUUACGUUCACCUGCUAAAGCACUGUCUUGCCUUUUUAGUUCACCUGCACACCUGUACAAACCAAAACCCUGCCUUUUUAUUUCUUGUACUGCUUUUUUAUUUUAUUUUAUUUUAAUUUGAUUUUGAUUUUGAUUUCAGUUUUAAUUCGAUUUUAUUGUGUUUUAAUUUGAUUUUGUUUUGCAAAUUAUAAAUUAAUUUGAUUUUAGUUUACAGUUCUAACUUGAUUUUAUUGUGUUUUAGUUUGAUUUUGUUUUGCAAAUUAUAACUUAAUUUUUAGUUUGAUUUGAUUACCAAGACAUUAUUUAUUUCCAAAACAUUAUUUAAUAUCUAAUAUCAUAUUAAAAUUCAUCAUCAAUUUUAUAGAAAAUUAUUAAAAUUUAACAAUACGCUUAUUAUUUAAAAAUAUAAUAAAACUUAAAUUUGAAAAAUAAAAUAAAAAGUACUUCACUGACUUAGUACGUCAGAACAAUAAGUUUAAUGAACACAUGUCACAUGUGCAAUGCCACUCUGCUUGAAUUCAACGUGUGAACCGCACAGCCCGUGAACCGCGAAACCGCCAACCGUUCGGCACGUCAAACACGCUAACCCGUACUUCCUGGUUAUGGUUUCUGUUUUAGCCAACCCGGCCCGGCACGGCCCGGCACGUCUACGCAGCCGGGCCGGUCCCGUGCCCGGAAAACUGAGCUCGGCCCGUAGUUGAACCGGCCCGAACCGGCACGGCCCGCCCGUUUGGCCGGCUCUAGUGACAGCGGACUCCAAUUUUGUCUUCAUUUUACAAACAGCUUUACAUUUUACGAGCUACACUCCCCAUGUUCAAUCAGAUCAGUGUAAACAGAAUUAAAAUUGUAUAUGCAUUCAAUUAAGCAGCAAAGGGCCCUGUCUGAUACUUCAGUGCAGUCCCUUAGAUAUGAAUAUUUUUGGGAUUGUUGUUUGAUUUAUCUGUAAGCACUGGUCAAGAAAUAGCCUUGACAAUGCUAUUAUUGAGUUCUUGUGGCAGUGUGUUAUUAUAUAUCUCUUAAUUUAUUUUUUUUGCAACUGCAGAUGAUACCGAUCCCUCCUCGUAUUCUGGUAAGAUUGUCGAGUGUUCUUGGAAUUUUGAAGAAGACGUAUGGGUCUUUAUGCGAAUCAGGCCAGACAAAUCAACCCCCAAUGAUAUCAACACCUAUAGAAAGGUCAGCCUGUUGGUAUUUCUUUUGAAAUCUUUUCUGAAUCUGAUUUCGAUCUUUAACUGUCCUGAAUAUUACCUUUACAAUAACUUGGAGACAGGUUUUGAGAAGUAUAAAGGACAAUAUCACAGAGGAAGUUUUAUUGAAUGAAAUAAAUGAAAUCAUCCGCCUGCCAAUGUAUGCUGAUAGGAUAAGGAGUGAUAGCAAAGCAGCAGCUAAUUUAACACGACGCAGGUGAUGAGCUGGCACAAGACUGGAGAAAAUCAUUUUCACAUCGACAGAAACAGAAGUGAGCAGUAGUACAACCCUACCUUAUCGUGUGUACGUUUCAGCUUUACACAAAAGAAAAUCGGGAGUUACUAAGCACUUCAAUACUGGCUGGUAGCCAAGUUCUAUAGCAAAGUAGUGGCAACAAGUUAUCGGUGCAAGUAGUAGCCCAUUGUAGUGCUGCAAGUAUGCCAACUGGUGAGUUGUAUGAUCCAUUUGUCACCUAAAUAGCCUUGGUGUUUGAAGUUCUUUUUUACCGUGUCAAAUGAAAGUAAUUAGUAUUAGGAUCAUCAUGUAUAUCAGCUUCAUUUGGAUUAUUUUUACUUCUAGUAUAUUUUACGUAUAGAAUCCAGCGUCUACUCAAAAUUGGAAUUGUUACUGUAGUAAGCUUUGCAGUGAAUUUAGGCUAGCCAUCAGUGUGAUACUUUUGUUGAGCUUAUGUCAUUGUUUUUCAUGCUGUUUCAUUUCCUGCUCUUUCUGCCCUUUACUGCAAUGAGCUGAUAAUUUUUCGAGUUGCAUGAAUGUGACUUCUGUCAUGUAAAUGAAUAGCUGAAUCUGUUAUGGCUGGCUACACAUUCAUCGCAUAUUAAAGCAUUCGCUGGUUUGUAGCUCUUUCUCAGCAAAUCGAGCUGUACUUCGCAUAUGAGACACAGUUUAUUAACCAAUUGAGGUGAGUUUCAAAUAAACACAGUUUUUUCUUAACGGGUUGAGCCCAAAUUUACAAUUCUACACUGUUUCUUAAGAAAUUAAGUUGAACUUUUAUUUCAAUACAAAUUGAAAUUUUAGGCAUUCCCAUAUUUAAUCCAGAAAAAAUUCGAGUUUCGGGUAUAUCCGAAUCUGACCGGAGUUCAAAGGUUUGGAAUUUUGUUUUUGAAUAUUUUUGUCAGAUUCGGUUAUAGAUAAAAAUAGUAUGACAGUAUAAAACAUGUGAGAAUGUUACAUUUUCAGAAAAAGAAAUACUGUAAUAACAAAAUAUAAGUAACCAAACCGAAAAUUAUUCAUAACAUUCUGCUCCUAUAGCAUAAAUGUCGGAGGCAAAGACGUACGCAGACCUUGCUUCUCUCGAUUGAAGUAAACGACACAACAAGCCAAAGGUGGUGAAAAUAGUCAUUUAAAGGAUACGGGAGCUCAACUUACUUAUCAGUACUGCUAAGAUCAACACACCAGAUCUCUGAGCAGCCGACUUGUUCAUCUAUAACAUCAUCUCGCCCUCUCCAUAACGCCUACAAACAGAACCACAAAGUAUUAGAUUCAUAUGGAUGCGCGUGCUUAACCUGUUCCUAUCUCGCCUGUUCAAUUUCGCUGGAGCAAAGGAUAUUUCAACUACACGACAAACUGAAACUGAACAAUGAUUCAGAUUGGCAAGAAGGGAUACUACAAAACGUAACACGAUCUAGAGUUUUAGAAGUAAAACGCUACAUGAAGCGUUCAGGGUUUCAAAACACUAGAUUGUGUAGCGUUAAAAAAGAAAAGAGGAUAAACGUCGCAUGAUCUAGCGUUUUGGAUUGCAAAAUGUUAGGUCAGGGUCAUCUUCUCCGAUAGUAGUAUUUAGGGUCAUUUUUUUUGAAAAUUGUGACAGUAAGGGCCAAUACCCAACUUCAACCAAUACUAUACUAGUAAAAUACGCCCACAAAUAUCAAUGAGCUUGGAGCACUGGUCUCUUACCAAGCCUUUUGAUUUCUUUGUCCAUCUGACCAGUGAGCAUCAAUCCAAACAUCUUGUAAUCGCAUAAAAAAGACCAGACCGGAUGACCAAACGUCGCGGGAACAUUCCUUUCGACGAAGAAAUGACUAUACCAGGCCAUACCAUAGCCAACCAGAGGCACGCAAAACAAGUAGCACCAGUUAAACAUAAUGCAGUACAUGAAACACACAAGACUGGCAAGUGUGCCUGCAAAAUGCCACAUUCUUGUUGUUGGCUCACGUAGAAAGGCCAGAACUCAUCCAUGUUGCGGAAAUUCAUAGUCAAGACUGGUUCAGAAGCUGACUCUUGGGCUUAUCAAACACAUACAAGAAACCUCAAAUUUUUAAAAACACAAAAUCUAAACAACUAAAUAUCGAGAAACAGUUCCGUUCCUCUUGUUAGUCCCUCCGUCUUCUUGUUUCAUCCGCCUGGCUUGAAAUUUUUUUCCCUCGGGUCCGGACUAUGCUAAAAGUGUCCCGUACUCAUUAUUAUUCCCCAUGUAGAUUUGUUUUGAUUUUCGAACUUACACUUUAUAAAUUCGGUUUUUCCAAGCAACCACACCAAUCAAAAUCUCCCAGCGCUUAGCAUGUGCCCAUGACACACACUCUCUGUUCUAAAAGUCGGUGAUUAAUCACGAUUAGUCACCGAUUAAUCCUUGUUCCAUAGCUCACCGAACUGAUUAAUUCUCCGAUUCAUCAUCGAUCAAUCCGAUUAAUCUUCGAUUAAUUCAUUUAAUCCCCGAUUAAUCCUUUUUCUCAUGACUUCACCGAUUAAGUCCGAUUCCCACACACUAGACACACCCUUAUAAAUUCAACUAUCCUAGAUCCCUGUAUUGUCGUCGCACACACUUUGGUAAAGAUUUGAAAAUUCGGAAUGAGGUAUGUGGUUUACAAGACUUCAAAUACGCAAAAUCCGAAUGUGAUUUCGGAUUUUCCGCAUUAAUAAAAGUCAUUGUUUUAUUCAAAAAAAAACUUAAUUAAAAUGAUUGAUAUCGGAUAUAUUAAAAUAAUAUAAUAAUACUUAAUUUUUUUAAAUAUUUUAAAUUUAAUUAAAUUUGAAAAAUCAAAUUAAUACAUUACUUUGUAGCGAUUAAUCAAAUUAAAACUAUGCUUUCAAACAACAAUAUAAUCUGCUCCGUAUAAAUCUCUUUCGGGCCAAAACUAAGCGAAACCCGAAGAUAUUGCUGAUAUCUGUGAAGCUUAAUGGGCUAAAAGGCUAGUCCAGCAAGAUAGUAUAUUGGGCCACUUCAAUGUUUUUAUUAACGGUUUUUUUUGUGAUGAGUCCGAUAUACACAUGUGAGCAUGUAUUUUAAGUCAUUUUCAUUGGUUACGUAUUAAUAAUGAUGACCUCCGGCAUAUACAGAAACUCCACCCAUCAAAGCGUUUAGACAGCCAAACCCUUAUAUUUAUAAUAACGGAGAGGGAGAGAGAGAGGGAGGGAAAGAGAGAGAUGGGAGAGGGGNUGAGCUAAACCUGAAAAGCAAGAAGAACAAUCAAAUCUGUUGAUGAAGUGGGUGGAGCUAGUGUUUGUAUCAGCUUUAUUCUCACAUAAGGCCAGAGGGGAGAGAGAGAGAGAUGGGAGGGAGAGAAAGAGAGAGAUGGGAGAGGGAGGGAGGGAGAGACUUCUGGGGAGAGAGUGUGUGUUGUAUGGACACUCUUUUGUUUCACAUUCAUCCUUUGCAGCCAACCACUGGUCUACUAUCAACUUUAGCGAUGGUAAAGAAAAAGUAAAGCAAUGCAAUGAAUAUGUUUGCUUUUCUCCAUAUCCUUUCACCAUUGCAAACACCUAUUUUUCUGUGAUGAUUUCCAUGCAUUUCCAUUACUUGAAAAUUAUACUUUCACCCUUUAUUCUCCCUCAACUCGAGGCUUGUCAGUAUACAAUCGAUUUUCUUAAUUAAUUUAUCAAUAAAUCCCAGCUCAAGAUCUGUUUCGAACAUUUGUAAAUCCCCAUGUUUGUAAAUCAUUUUCUUGUAUUCUUCUACACUUCUGUUCCUUUGUCCUGCUUCGGUUAUAACAUGCCAAAUACUCAAACGCCUAGAUUAUUUUGCUACAUGCAAAUUAAUCGUUGUUCCAUAAUUUAUUAAUUUGAUUAAAUUUCUGAUUAUCUAAUUAAUUUUUGAAUAAUUUGAUUAAUCAUUGUCUCAUGUCAUCGUCGAUUAAGUCUGGUUCACAUUUGUUAGAAUACUAUCUCCUGCUACGACUACUUGUAUCAUUGUAGCGGUUAAAAUUUGACAUAUAGAUAAUGAAAUGAAAUUUGAGCACAAAUUUGAAUCAAAAUUAAAAUUUGUUUUUCAAAAUUUCGAAAAUUAGAAAACAAAUGCCCUCGUAGGUGGGCCGAACGACGUAAAAGAUUAAUGUCGUUUAGCAUUCAUUUUGCUAAUAUCUUAAACAUCAUGCAUGCUAGCUACCACCUUCUCCUUUAUUUCACCAUGAAUCCAUCUGCAUUUUAAUAAUUGAUUUGUUCUAAAUUCAAUCGAAAAAGUAUCAUUUAACGUGUUCUCAGUGGCAAACUCCGAUACAUUCUCCCGCAAUAAUAUCCGGAAUACAAAACUCCCGCAUCAAACAACCGCCGACCCCCGAACUAUACAUCCUAGCUAGCAGUAAUCAAGAACAACAUAAUAGCGAAAAUAAUGGGUUUGGCGAAAUUUGUGGAAUCUAAGUGCAGGCGUGCUGAUUCAUUUCCUUGUUAUUCCAUUCUAUGCAUAUUGCAUUCCCAUUGCCAACUCUGUGCAGCUGCCUUUUUAACUGUCACAUUCUUGAGAAAAAUAAAAUCAUUAGAUUCGUAAUUAUUAUUUACGCCUCGUGAUCCACUAAUGAGAUAUGCAAUUACUAGAAUCGAAAUUCAAAGUUUUAUAAUUCGCACAAAUCAUAGUUGUCUGUUGAUACAAAUUACAUAGCGUGAUAAUGUGAUUUAUAAGAACGGUCAUCUUCAUCCAUGACUUCUAAAAUUGUUUAUGUGCUUGAAUUUGAGUUUAAUGUCCAAAUUUUCUAAUAUUACUCCCUCCGUCUCGCCAUGAAGUUUACCUACACUGUCUGCACGCAUUUUGAAACUCUCGUAAAAUAUAAUUCUAUAACAUAUUUUUAAUUAUUUUUUGAAUAAAAGUUUAAACUUCAAAUUUUUUUUCAGAAUUUUUAAAAUAUAUAUAUAUAUAUAAUGUAAGUAUAUUUUAUAUAAACCUUAAAAUACGUGUCAAAAAGUAACGUAAAUAAUCCGGUGGGACGGAGGGAGUAUUUAAUAGCCGAGACAGAUAUUGAAAUGAUUAGAAAGGAAUUAAAAUGUAAAAAUAUUUAAUAUUUUCUAAAUCGUUUAAUAUGAGCAAAUUUUUUAGUAUAAUUAAUUUUUCUGACUCGACCGGAAUUUAAUCCGGUCCGGCUCUCCCGGUUCAGUCAAUGUUAUUUAAAACAACUGCAUGCAUCAUCAUCGUAUCUGAGUUCGUGUACUAGUACUAUUGAAGUGGAGUUUGUACGUACUCUAGCUCGUGGCGUGGGAAUUAAUUAGUCAUAAAUGUAAAAUGAAUGGGCCCUCGUGAUAUAUGAGUAUAUGCACCGCUGAUUAAAGUCCGUCCGGCGAGAUUCCGUCCCGUGACCCACGGCGGCGGCCCGGUAUCAUUAAAUAGGGUUACCUCUUUUUUUCUUCCAUAACUCUUCGCCAUGCAGAAUGAAUUUAUCAGUAUCACAAGAAAGAAUUUUACGUAUAACUAAUAUCGUAAAUGAGCCGAGCACGAUUGGAUAGCCCAAGUGGUGGAUUUAUCCUCUGUUGUCCCGGGAUACUCGGGUUCGACUCUGGCUCAAUCUGAAAUUUAUUAGAACAGAUACUAAUUUGUAAGGCAUAAAAGCAUGCAUCGUAAAAAAAAUAAAUCGUAAAUGAGCCGAGUCGAAUAUCAAAAUGUUAAAUUUAUGCACACUUGUCGAUUAAAAUAAAAAUGAGACAAGAAAUGGGUUGAGAGUACCUUAGUGGUAAAACUAUACAUCUCAAGGGCUUGGAUUCGAUUAUCACCUAUAUCAAAUUUAGGUAUCGAUAGAAGCAUACGGUUACCGCCGAUACUAUGACUAUAUAAAAAAAAAUGAGACGAGAAUUCAUAAUUUUGUGUUGAUUAAAAUAUAUAAAUUUAAUUAAACAAAUAAAAUAGAGUAAAUUGGGAUGUUUGUGUCAUGUUCUAGAGUUAUUUUCGUAAAUCACAUCAACAACGGAUAAAAUCGUAUUUCAGGUCGAUAUCAAGAAUUCUGCCAUGAAUGUCCGCUGUUCGGAGAGGUGCAACAUUUUUGUCCAGACAAAGGACAAGCUCCUGUGUCCAGAGCAAAUAGAAUAACAAAAAUACAACUAUCCUCAAUGUAAAUGAAGAAAAAACAAGGAGAACCAAAAAUGAAAUCGUGAGGCUAAUCUAAAUUGAACUUCCGUUAAUAUUUUUUCCCUCCGUCGCUCUGGAUUUUAUACGUUUUCAUUUUUAAUUAUAUUUUGUUUAUUAAAACAAACACAUCUUCUCAUGUAAGUCCGGAUUAAUUUUACAUAUUUAUAUAUUUAAUAUAAAAUUAUUAUUUUAAAUUUCGGUCCAAAAUUGCUUUGAUUCAGAGACGGAAGUACUUGCGAGCUUACCUGGCCUUAAGCCCAUGGUAGUUUUUUUAAAAAAAUUUAGUAAUUAUAUAUAUUAUGCAAUUUAUGUGUUACGUCAAUUCAAGCCCACUAUCAAUUAGGUCUAACUCAUCAAUAUAAUCAACUAGAUACUGAACAUAGAGUAAAGAAUGCUAAGUAAUUAGAUAGAGUUCUAUUUUUUUGUUCCUUAGUAUAGUGCAGUGAGUAUAUUUUUUUCAUAUAUAUUUGUUCGUUAUUGACAUUUCAAGCUCAUCUCGAUUCAAAUUCCUGGUUCCGUCCAUAUUUUGAUUUUUGAUUUGAUUCCGUCAAUACGGAGAGUGAGGUGAAAAAGAGAAAGCCGAAAAACAAAAAGAGACAGCAGGAGGCAAGAAAAAAAGGGGAAGAGCAUAAAGCAAAGUUACCAAAACAAAAAAAGCAGAAGAAAGCGAAGUGAGAAUGCAAGUGAUGUAGAGAGCGAGACAACAUAGUACAACUUCUGCAUUAUUGUGUGUAGAAAUUUAAAAUAAAUGUAUUUUAUUGUACUCCAUGUUUGUAUGCGGUGUUUAGAGGGACAGUCCAGCUCCAUCGUCGCUGAUGGCGUGAUUUACUUUUGCUUUUUAUCAUCCACCGGAAUCUUUGAAUGUCAUAAAGUUAAGAGAACUAGACAUGAACAGUUCACACGAAAAACACCGGAUAAUGUAGAUGGAAUUUAUUCGUGUGAACCCGGAAUUCCGUUGGAAGUUGUUUUAAUCGGUUUAAUAAAAUCAGGUUCACGCAACUGUUCGGAAAUCUAAGAUUUCUGAAAGUGGAUAUGAGAAGUCGAAAAUCUGAUUAAAUAUUCAGAUUUUUAAAUUUUUAUCAAAUUUAUUUAUUAUUUAAUUAAUAUAAAUAAUAAAUAAAUUUGAUAACAUAUAGGUAUAUUAUGAUAGUAAUUACUUUUUGCUUGGUUAUGCUGUCAUUCAAGAAUAAUGUGCAAACUUCAUACAUUAAACUCACUUUAGUGACCAACUAGACAAUUAACCCAUAUAUUACGGUUAUUUAUUUAAAUAAUUAUUCGGUUCGGUUUUAACCAAUAACCAUUAACCGGAACCUAAUUCAUAUCAUAUGUUCGAUUUUUAGUUUUCCGAAUCAGUUUUUAUGUUUUUACCGAUUUCGCUUCGGUUUCAGUUUUUUCCAAUUUUUUUGCUCAGUCCUAAUCUGAGGAAUAAUAGUAGUAGUUUUAGUUGUUUUGCAAAAUAUAGCCAGUACAGUAGCAUGAGUCACUCUUCUGGUGUUUAUAGCUCAAAGAAGAGUAAGCAAGAAAUCAGAAUAAAAAGACACAAAAACACACUGUCCUUUUAUUACACACAAACACAACAAAACUACAUUCUCACUCACCAUUAACAUGAGACUCGCCCUUUAUUACACACACCACCGGUGAUGAAUCCCAACACCACCGACCCACCACCACCUCAGCCACCGCAACCUCCACGCUCUUCCUUCAGCUGUGACAAUCACCCUCNNNNNNNNNNNNNNNNNNNNNNNNNNNNNNNNNNACCGACCCACCACCACCUCAGCCACCACAACCUCCACGCUCUUCCUUCAGCUGUGACACUCACCCUCUUGAACAAUUCACUGGCUUUUGCCCCUUGUGUCUUUGUGAGCGCCUCACAACACUUGAGCCCUCUUCAUCAGCCUCUUCUUCACGCCCACCAAACACCUCAAAUUCUACUCUUAAGUCCAUUUUCAAGAUCAAUAAAGCAACCCCUUCUUUUUUUCCUGAGCUUAGGAGGUCUCACUCCUUUUCUGCCUCGAAAAACGAGCCUUUUUCUGGGGUUUUUGAGCCACAGAGACACUCUUGUGAUAUUAGGGGGAGAAAAAGUUUUAAUCUUGAGCAAGAUAAGAGUGAGCCCAUUUGCUCACAAGCUCAAAACCAAGGUCUUGAGACUAGGGGUUUGAAAAGUUUGAGUCUUGAGCAAGAAAGUAAUAAGCCCAUUUGCUCACAAGCUCAGAAUCAGGUUCUUGAUAUAAAGGGUAGAAAAAGUUUGAGUCUUGAGCAAGAAAAUAAUAAGCCCAUUGGCCUACAAGCUCAAAAUCAAGGUCUUGAGAUAAGGGGAAGGAAAAGUUUGAGUCUUGAGCAAGAAAAUAAUAAGCCCAUUUGCUCACAAGCUCAAAAUCAAGGUCUAGAGAUAAAGGGUAGAAAAAGUUUUAAUCUUGAGCAAGAUUGCAAUAGGCCCAUUUGUUUGCAAGCCCAAAAUCCAGUUCUUGAAAUUGAAGAUCAAGAAAAUGAUGAAAUUACAGUAUUGGAGGAUGAUUUGAAUGUAAUUUCUUCGAAUACUAUUAGUUCUGCUGUUACUAGUGAGGAAAUUGUGGUGGAGAAGAGUAUUAAAGAUCAUAUAGAUCUUGAUUCGCAACCGAAGAAGUCAUCUGGCAUGAAGUUCUGGUCAGCAGCUUCAGUUUUUAGUAAGAAAUGGCAAAAAUGGAUGAGGAAAGAGACGAAAAAGGGGAGGAGUGGAAAUGGCUCUUCUGGCUUAGCUACAUUGCCUGUUGAGAAGCCUAUUUCGAGGCAAUUACGAGAGACUCAAUCAGAGAUCGCAGAUUAUGGAUUUGGUAGGCGAUCUUGCGAUACUGAUCCAAGGUUUUCGCUUGAUGUGGGUCGAAUGUCGUUUGAUGAUCCAAGAUACUCUUUUGAAGAGCCUAGGGCUUCUUGGGAUGGUUAUUUGAUCGGAAAGAAUUUUUCCCGGCUUCCUCCUAUGGUGGAAGAUGAUCCUGUGGUUAGUGUAUCGAGAACUGAUACUGAUAUUCCGGUAGUAGAGGAUACAUUUGUUGGGAAUGGUUUUGGGAAUGGAGAUGAGGAUGUGCCUGGUGGUUCUGCUCAGACUAGGGAUUAUUACUUAGAUUCUUCAUCGAAGAGGAGAAAAAGUCUUGAUAGGUCUGGUUCGCUUAGGAAGACUGCUGCAUUUGCAGAUAUUGAUGAUGUGAAGGUGGUUUCUAAUGCUAAAGUGACACCUGCAGUCAUAGAUUAUGUCAAUGGGGGAAGAGAGUUGAAUGGGGAUAGACAUUUGAGGGAGUUAAAUCUAAAUUCUCUGAGAGAUGAUUGUUCGGGGACAUUUGAAUUGGGAUCUAGAGAUAAUGCCUCGGUUAUCGGGAACAAUGGGGAGGGAAAAGAGUCGAAAAAGUCGAGGAGGUGGAAUUGGAAAAUUUUGGGAUUUAUACUCCCUCGUGGAGGGAAUAAGGAGGAGGAUGGUGAAAGGGGCAAUAGUAGACCAAGUAGGUUUGAGAGGUCACUCUCAGGGUCUUGGCAAGAGCUUAGGAGGGAUGGUAACAGAGAGGGUAAGGGGGCUUUUGAUAGGAAGGCAUUUCGUAGUAAUAGUAGUGUGAGCUGGAGGAACUCUUAUAAUGUGGCUGGAUCGUUUGGUAGUAUGAGGAAAUCAAGUAUUGAGGUUAAUGGGAACGGGAAGAAGAAGAAAGAAGAGUUUGUCUUGGAGAGGAAUCAAAGUGCGAGAUAUUCAACUAGUGACAUUGAUAAUGGCCUCUUACGUUUUUACUUGACACCAUUGAGAGGAAGUCGAAGGGGUGGACUAGGAAAAAGUAGGUCUAGCAACUCUCAAUCAAUUGCUAGAAGCGUUCUGCGGCUCUACUAGAUCCAAGGUCCUUAUCAUAUACAUUGAUUGGUUGUUAUAUUAUCACAAUAUAUUUGUUGUCUACAUAAUGUAUGUGUGCUUAUGCUUGUUAAUUUUGUUUGAGUAACAUGCCUAUUUGAUCAACAAUUGAUCUAAUAAGUAGAAUCUAAUGCAUGUUUGUAAGUUAUUGUAUUAAUUUCAAUCAUCGCCAACCUUUCAUUUACAUUCUCAGUGAGUGAUUAAUAUGUGCUUGGUUCUUGAGUUUGAUUCGCGCAUGCCUAUUUUCCAGGAUUGAUAUUUGUUCAAAAGGCUGCAAAGAGAAAGCUAAAAGAACAUACUGUUCAUGUUGUCUGUUGUAUACUAAUUUACCGAUCAAUACAAUACGGGAAUUUAUAACUGGUUUCUGUCAUGUCUGAACUUAUAAAAUCUUAAUCUGAGAGUAUGUGGUUGUUAAACUACUACUGAGAUGUAACUCUCAUUAACAGCCACUUCCAGAAUCAUCGAUUUUGUCAACUUAGCGAUUCUUGUCCAAGUUUUGUUACUAAAUCUGAUACCAUGGAGAAAGUAAAGACACUCCCUAAUUAUAUUUUACAAGCAAUUAACUUUUUGUACAGAAUCAAUCUUUAUAGAAGUUGUAUCACUAGAAGUGAACUUCAGUGUAGUUGGUUGCUCAUGUAAUUCCCUUGUCCUGAUAUAAGUUUUUGUUUAUUAGAGCAUGCCGAUACCUCCGUUCACUGGUUUAAUGCGGCUGUAUAUUUGAGUGCAGAUGUUUCACUAUGUCCUUAAAAAAUUUCUAUAAUGUUGUGUUUAUUACUUCAGUCUCUUGGUGUUGAAGGGCGCUAUCUGUACAUGCAGUGGUUCACCUGCAGUUCGAUCACUGUCUGAUGUACUUGUCUUACUAUUCUUUUCUUGAAGCAGAUUUCAGGAUUAGCAAUUUAUGCACUCCCCAUCACUGAAAGGCGGAGGGAUUAUGCUGAAGUUUAUAUAAUAUAGUACGGGAACCUUUGGAAAUAAACCAAUUUGCACAAACAAACACACGGGAACUAGAGGAUUCAUCAGAACAAACACAAUCCCCCACCCCCCGGAGCUAAUGGGGAUGUGUAACUUCUCAAAUAGUUUUUUUCCGAGUAUGCCUGCAGACUUACUUAUCCCUGAAAAUGCUUUACUCGAUCAUGUUAGCAAUCAAGCAUUACUUGCUUAAGGUAGGCUGAAUGGAUGUGUGGUAUCUCUGAAGCUUUACAAAGGAAGAUGCAAAUGUUGUAAGAAGCUAGAUUACAGAUGUCCUGCGAGCCAGUAACUAAUCUAGUUCCAUCUUUUAUUUGUUUCUUACUUUCUUUUUUACUUGGGGGUCUGUAAUUGUAAUUGGUAUAUGAUAAAUGUAUGAGUUAUUCGAAUGAACACUGUUAUUGGUUUUGGUUCCUUUGUCUUGUAAAGUCUGCAAGGAAAUAACUAGCUUUUUUUUUGUUUGCAAAUGUUCAUAACAAUUAUAAGUAAAGCAGGAAAUUGUAGCAAUUAUUUGAGAUUCAAAGAGAUGCUUUUGGUCACAAAGGGAGCAGUCCUUAUUCCUUGUUUUGUAGCCAUGCUGCCUAAUCUAGAAGAAAGGAGUUGCCUAUUGAAAAACCCCACAUGUUGCAAAUGCAUGUGAGCCAGUCAUGUUUUCUUAAAUUGAUCUUCAUUCAGUGAGUAAUUAAGGUUAAGUCAUAUUAGUGUUGCACACCUACCUUCUUUUCUUUCCAAGAUUUGGUUGUCAUUUUCUAAGAACCAUUUUUUAGCAGAAUUUGUUUUUCUUUUUCGAGUUGGAGGUCUUCCCGGAAACAACCUCUCUUUGUUUUCGAUUGCAGAUAUGCUGAUUUCUUCGGUUUACGGAGGAUUAUGUUCAUUCCUUUUGUGAAAACACCUGAAUGUAUUUUCUACAUUAAAAGAUGAUCUUGUUGCAAGAUCUUUGCUCUAUUGUCCCUCCUCAAAUAGUAUGCAAGAGAAUAAUGCACAUAGUUAUUCAACACAACAUUGGUCUGGGAGCCUACUUCCAUAUAAAUUUCCUCCAUCUUUACUUCUUUUCAACAUGUACCUUGUUAUGAAGGACCAAGUUGGGGAUGUUUUUUCCUUUUUAACUUUUUGACUUUUUGUACCAACUAGCAAGCAUAUUGAUCAUGAGGCUUUUUACAAGGACUGGAAAAUUGUAAAAGGUCUUAAACAUCAUUCCAAACUUACUGAGUUGUUUAGUAAUCAGUAUUUGAUUAGGCCAUUGGAGGAACAAAAGUUUCAAUCUUUGGUAAAACAAUCAUUGGUGCUGGCUUUGUGGUUGAUUUUUCCUAUUGUUUGAUGGGAUUGGAGCCAAAUUAUUAAUACUACAUACAAAUUGCUGGGCCUUUUUCUAGUCAAAAGUCUAGCAACUAUCCCAGAUGUAUUUUCUACUCUAGCUAGCUAAUCUUGCUUUCUCUUUUGUGAUCUUCACACCUGGGUAAAGAUUUUGUAAGUGUUCUCUUUACAACCCACCAGGGCCCGUAAACGGAUCGGAUAUGAAUUUAAAUUAGAUUUCAAAUCGGAUCAGGUUGGAUCGGAUAUGUGAACCAUUACAGGCUCCAAGGCUACUUUAUGUUCUGAAGUUACCAGAGUUGAGCUGUAUUUCACAUUUAUAUGAAGAUGUAUUCCCUAAGCAGUAGAAAAAAAGUUCAGAAGCUUAAUUACUAGACAGCCUAAACUUAAUAUGCAGAUAUCUGAAAAUCCAAACAAUUGUACCCAAAUUAAUAUAUCAUUCACAUCAUCUUAAGAAACAAUUUGUAUGAAGAUAGCAGAUUAAACAUUAGGAUUGCCAGACUUGCUAGUUGAUCUCUCAAGGAUCCACGGCAGCCUUUUUGUAUGUAUACCACCUUGCGAUCCAUAGAUACACAAGAAAGUUUAAGAAGCUAAGGAUUGCCAAGAGCCAGAAGAAAUAGUCGAGAUGGCCUUUAUUCAAGUUUUCUGGAAUCCAACCAAGCUUUCCAUCUUUAGUUGUCACUGCAGUUACGAUAUUGACAAGAAGGGUGCUUAAGUAACUACCGACCGCCAUGGUUGUAAGAGAAAGUGCUGAGCACAAGCUUCUCAUCGCGUCAGGUGCCUGAUCAUAGAAGAACUCUAUCUGUCCAAUGAAAGUGAACACUUCUGCACAACCAACAAGAAAGUACUGCGGAACUUGCCAGAAGAUUGACAUGGAAAUAACCUCAAGGUCAUAAAGAUUAUUCCGCCUAACAUAGUCAAGCCGAGCGACUUCUAAAGCCCCUGCAACAAGCAUGGCAAUGGUAGAUAUGACGAGACCGAUGCCCAUUCUUUGGAGCUGAGUAAAACCUUGUUCAUGGCCUGUGAAUUUCCUUGCAAUGGGAAUUAUGUAGCUGCCAUAAACAGGUGCCCAGAAUAGGACGCUUAGAGUAUCAAACAGGGAGAGGGAUGCUGAUGGGAUUUUGAAGUUCGGGCCAAUGUGUUGGUCAAGCGUGUUUCCUUGAAGAAUGAACAUGGUGCCCAUCUGACCAUAUACAGUCGAGAAAAUUAUCCCAGAUGCCCAUACAGGUAGCAAAUUGAUAACACCCUUCAGCUCCUCCACUUGAGUAACGGUGCAGAGUCUCCAUGGAUUCACAGCAUCCUUUGCAUAGUCGGAUUCAGUUUGCACAGCAGCCUUAUCAAGAUACCUACAUACACACUGAAACUCAUCAGGGAAUCUAUUACAUUGCUAGUUCAAAUUAUAUAAAUUCAGUAACAAACUAUUAAUUUGAAACUAAUGCACAGGAGGUAAAGUCUAUUUAUAAGCCUGGAAACAACUUCCUGAUUACAAGAUAAAGGACACAUGCAUCUGUACAUGAUCGUAUAUACUGGAAGUCUAGAUGCAUUUAUGGACUACUAGACAUUAAGGGUCGACCAUGAUAUCCAGAAUAUAACAUACAACCAUCAAGAUAUUAGACUGUCCAUCUUCCAGAGAUGAAUAGGAAUGAUGCAUCACUCAAUAUAGAAGUUGUAACAAAUACAUCACCCCUUUUGACCACGUAUCCUCACAGGUCUGAACUAAAGUGAAAGUAAAUAAGGUGAAAAAUGUGCAUCUGAAAAUGAUAUUAUGAACACUUAAGGAUCUUUGUGAAUAGUCUCUAAGAAUCCUGUUUUGCAGGUCAGUGAUGUUAGUACUGCAACUACACCUAAUAUCGUAUAUGUAGACAUAAAGCCAGGCUGGUAAUAAAUCUAUCAUUGAAUGCAUAAAAAGCUGUAUAUUAUGUAUUAGUCCAAAUAACGAACUGUAUAACAGCAAUACUUUAUCAGGGACAAGUAAGAACCAACACGCUUACUUGAACUUUCCUGUGUGCUCGAGCUUGCGACUUCCUUGAAUAUUUGAUUCCUUGUCUGUUAUCUCAUAGAGAAGAGUCUUGUCAUCAGGAACUUUAACAUGAGAUUUUCUCACAGAUGCAACCAGCACCUGGGCAAUCCGAGUUAAGGGACUCCCUCCAGGUCUUUGGAACCGAUAUAAAUGACUGCCUGCAAAGAAAAAUGCAAUAGCAAUGGCCAUGGAAACUGCAGGGAUGCCCAGUCCCCAUCCCCAACCUACAUUCAUUUGUAUCCAGACUAAAACUGAAGAGGCAACAAGUGAACCAACGUUAAUUGAAAAGUAGAACCAGUUGAAAAAAGAAAUCUUUUUCUUUUUCUCUUUCUCAUCAGUUUCAUCAAAUUGAUCUGCACCAAAGGAUGAUACGCAUGGUUUGAUGCCACCCGUUCCAAGAGCAACCAUGUACAGUGCUAGAAAGCAGACUGCGGAUUGAGCUGAUGUUGCAUGGCAACUACCAUUUUCAUCACAUACCGGCUUAAGGCCACUGACAGAUGCCGAUAAUGUUAAGAGUGUCAUUCCCUAAAAAACAUUAAAAAAAUUAGUUUUUUACAUUUUAUAAAUUAAAAAUAAAUUCUGAACUCAUCAGUAAAAUAAGUAUAAAUCAUCAAAGUUCUUAAUAGUGUAAUGCAGACUGGAUGAAGGUCUUUAUUUAGAACCAGUUUGCAGUCAGAAAGUAAUCCUGAAAAAAUUCAGCAUGAUUCCGAGAAACAAAAAAGGCGCCACAAGUAUACUCAGCUAAAAGUUUACAUAGUUAAGAACAAAACACUAACAGUAACAUUUUCUAUUGCUGAUCAAGCAAGAAAAAACUUACAAGAAUAUAGAUAAUUGAGAAAAUUGCAAUUGUCCAGUAUCUUCCCAUGAAUGCAUCAGCUAGAAAGGCACCUAUCAGUGGUGUGAUAUAGCAUGUACCAGACCAAUUUGUAACAUUAUUCGACGCAGUGACAUUAUCUUCGUUAAAACGCUCCUGUAGAUAGUUAACGAGAUUGGUACUCAUUCCAUAGUAUGCCAAUCUCUCGCAGCACUCAGUUCCUGCACAAACAGAUUUAUAUUUUAGAUAAGCAAAAAUGUAUUUCUGAAGACAAAAGCAAUACUGGCUCAAAACAUACCAAGGACAAAUUUGCAAGCUCUCCAAUUUCCAGUUUCCUUCUUAAUAGCGGGCUUCUUGUGACAAUCAACGGUCCCAUCAUUCGUGUAUAUGUCGUCGGCUGCCAUGCUGCCACAAAAGCUAUGUUAACAAUUUGUACUCUUUUAAUUCAAUACUAAAAUUUCAAUUGCACAAUUAGAGUACUUGGAUCGAUAAUAUACAGAACUUAGAACAUUUUUUCUAUUUUACCAUCAUUCACAGGAUACAAACUUUGUGCAAAAAUAGUGAGUUACACCAAAGCACAUAACCAAAAAACAAUUGCCCACGGAACAAAAGCAGAUUCAGAAAAACAAAUAAAAAUCCUUAGAAAAUGCAGAAUCCGUAGUUUAGUAAACUGUAAUAUUCUGAUAUCUCGCCACUGAACCUCGGAAAAGUACAUUCCUUUCUCAAAUAUAUUCAACUAAUUAAUUAUCAACCCAAAUUGUCCACCUUAAACAUAGAAAAAAGAACACUUUAGUAUUAGACAAAAGACAAAGAGACCAUAAAAGCAUGCAGAAACCCCCCUUUCAAAUUGAUCAACAAUUCACCAGAAAAUCCAACAAAAGAAAAAAGGGAAAAAACACUUCAACAGAUUCUAUUCAUUUUUCAAUGAAAUCAUUAAGCAAACCAGGGAGAAAAAAAACCCAAAGUAGCCUUUAAAAACUCAGAAUAAUCAAAUAUCAGAAUAAAUCAGUAUAUAAAAGGGCCAAUCAUAAAUUUAUCUAACAACCCUUCACCAUGCCUCCAAGAAAUCAAAGAACCGUAAUCAAAAACCCAAAAAUAAAACAUUAAAAAAAUUACAUAAGAAGAAUGCAUGCAAGCCAACACAGAGAAACAGUGCAACCUUGCAGAGUUGCAGUGUUAAACCACUACAAAAAUAUCAAAAACAUUAAAAUAAAUAUAUAAAUAAAUUUAAUUUAAAACAAUUGUAUGAAGAAGUGGAAGAUACCUUGAAGAAAAUGAGGAUCCUGAUGGGAUAGAAGAUGAGAUUCAGCAGAACCCUGGUUGGCAAGAAAAAGAGUGACAGCAAAAAUCGGGUGAAUCUGGUAUAUUUUAACUAAAACAUUUAUUAUUAUUAUUAUUUACUUUUUAAGCAUACAUACAAAGGAAGAAUAAUUAUAAAAUAAAAACUCUGCUGACAAUGAAUCCUUGUGUAUAAAGGAUUCAGAAGAUGAACCUGGUACGUUUCUGCUACUAAAUGAAACGGGCCUGUAGCUGUAAACUGUAGUAGUAACAUUUUAUUUCGAAAAAUGUGUUGCAGGACAAUAAAUUUGCUGCUAAAAGAGAAACUAGUAUGUUUGCCCGCGUUGCGGGUGGAACAAUUAAAUUCGGUUCCCAACAUAACAAUAGAACUUUAUUUUUAUAAAAUAAAGUUUUUUUCUAUGUUAAUUAAAUAUGUUGAAUUAAUUAUUUAAUUGAUAAGUAAUUUUUAUGUUAAUAAUCCCUUUUUUGGUAAUUUUUUCGAAUAAUUCUCGCUUAAUCCUUGUUUCGUUGUUUCAGCGAUGGAUUCUGUUUUUUCGCUUUGACGACGUUGGUCGUAAAAGAAUUUAUAUGAAAAGUUAUUUUAUGAAUUUUCUUAAUUAAACAACUUAAGAAAAUAUAUUUGUAAUUCAACAUUGCUAAUAGAGAAUUUUUUUACAAUUUUGGCUUAUAUUUUAUUAUUUUUGUUGUUUUGUUUUUUCUCAUUGAUAUUACUCAAUGAUUAAGACAAUUAUGUAAUUUCGUUGUUAUCUGUUUUUUUAUAAAAAUAAUUGUUAUCAAAAAAUUAUUAAAAAAAGUGAUGGACAUAUAUAAUGACAAAUGAGUUUAAAAGUUAAAAAUAAAUUAACGUUGUAACAAAGUUUUGUAUCAAUUUAUACAUAUCAAAAUAAUUUCAAAAAUGAAACAAAAUAGUUAUUUUAAUCAAGAAACAUAAAAGCCUUGAUACACGUUCUUGUUUGUCUGGCACUUAUGUUUCUUCUCUUUCAUGUUGUUGAAGUCAAGGCCUGUAAAAUGAGGUUCACUCUGCAAUCUGCACAAAAUCUACAUCAUUAGUUAAAAUCUUUUCACUCAAGGUGAACCUAUGAUAACACAAAAAUUGAACACAAAAAAAUAUUGUUCCCCAAAAAGUAGUGAUCACAUUAAACUUGGCAUGGACUUCUUAUACAAAAAGAGGCAACAGGAUAUGUAAAUUAGAUAGAUAUAACACAUGUCAAAGGCUCAUAGAUUCCUAACACUAACAUUAUGAACCUGUAUAAUUUAGCAUGUUAGGUAAAUAAUUGUUGCAGGUAUAUAUAUUUCAACAUAUAUUUAAAUAACCAAAUCAAAGCAUAUAUCUUCUUAUUAUACAGGUGGAAAUCAUUCAGAUUUACCCGACAGAUAGAGGCUUCUUAGGAUCGCCAGUGGAAUAUCCUUUUAAAUAGAAAUAAAAACUAACAAUAUAAACAACACCAAGAACUGAGGAGAUGACAGAGUACUUAAUCCCUCCCAACAUCAUGAAUGUCAAGAACAAAGGCAUCCACUCCAUGGAGUUCUGGUGACCUCUCUUCACCAUUUAACACAGUCAAUGACCCGAUGAGAAAUUUUGAAAGCUUAGAACAUUCACGUUGAAAACAGUACAAUAUAUAUUUGCAAACAUGAAAAAGAGAAAUAGUACCUGAACACAGUUAAAGAGAUUAGCAUUUUCAUUUUCUGAUUCUAAAGCAUACAUCGCAGGUAGAGCAACCUUAUACCUGCAAAUUUUAUUCACAAUAUCAAAUGCACAUUAUCGACUGAUGAUAGAAAAAAAACCUGAAAGAGAUGUAUACAGAUAAAAUAAAUCCUUUUUACGGGCUUUGCCAACUUGAGCAGCCAUCCAGAAAUUAAAGAAACCGGAGAUGUCAACAAUUAUAACAACGUAACGGCAACAUAUCAACUCCAGCUGUGUCCAUCAUCUUUCAGAAAGAUUGGCAAUGAGUCUCUGCUGAAAGCUUUUCUUUCAAGGUGUGAUAUCCAUACAUAUCAGGAGCACCAACAUUGGCACCCUCUUGGAGCAAGAUUUCUGCAACCUGAACAUAUCCAUGUGCUGGCCGAUCAAUGCAGAGGAAGGAUACAUGUUAGUUCCCAUUCCAAGUCUGUGAACAGUUUCUUUACAAAAGAGUCAGGACACCAGUCUGCAGGCAGUCUUCCGAAAAGACCUGCAAUUUCCAACCAAGAGAUACAAAAAACAGAUGUAGAAGAGUAGUUUAAAAAAGAGCCGGGAGACCAGUUGAUAGAAAAAGAACUAAAAGAAAUUGGAGACAAUGGUCUAAAACCUUACGUACAGUACUUGAAGCAAAAUCAGGGAUUCGUAUACCUUUCAUAAGCAGUCAUAUUUUAUAUGUUAUUCAUGGUUGGGCAAUUAGUUCAAGGUGUUUGGUUGGCUGCAAAAUCCUGCUACAGGCAUCCUCUUACUUAAAUGGAUAUCUAUUGGGAUGGGGUGUGCAUCGUCACUAUGUCUAAGUCCCACUUAUGAUAGUAACUCCUAAAUUUAACUAUUUUGUUAUCACGUUGAUUCGGAUAGGUACAUGUGGAUUCGAAACCUGGACCAUUUCUAUCUUCCAAUGAAACACACACAUCUAAAACAGGCCAUUGCACGUAUUAUAAAAUGGUUGCUCGUAUGCAUUCAAUAUCAUAUAUAGAAUAUAAUCUUUACCAUAUAUGAGCAAAAGGUAAGUGAUCUGCGCUGCCAUAUGACUUGUGAAUCUGGAACUUCUGUGAGCCCGAAAUUCCUUGUAACACACUGAACCCUUCUAAAGGUACCUGAAAUUGCACACGGGAAUUCAAUAUUUUAACCCAAAUUCAAUUCUUUACCAAAUCACAAAUAAUCAUUCAACCAGCAAGACUUGUUAGUUGCCAUAAAAGGUCAGAGUAGAUUCCUCCGUGCAGGCAUACACAUAUAGAUGAUACAGAAUAUAAGUAUGUACCUUUGAGGUGCCAGUAACAAACUGUAAGAGUCGUGCUUAUCCUCCUUGCUAAAACUUUGUACAACCUCCCAAAAGCAUGUAUAACAGGAGAUCCAGCACUAUACCCUAAAUACUCGGUAUUCAUUCUCAUGCAAUCCAUUGUAGAGGAUUAUAUAAAAAAAUUAGUAUAACAGAACAUAGUACUCUUAACAUAUCUGAAUUAUAAAGCACAUCUUCAGAGAACUCACAAUCAAUAUCCGAGGCAUUUAUCUGAUUCUUCAUCAUUAAAAAUAGAGAUUAAAUCCCUUUGAAUCAGUUCAUUUAACCCCUCCAAAAAGGCAUUUAUAUGAGGACGAAUAGCCUUAGUCAAACGAUGUUCCGCAACUAAGUCAACAUAUUCAUUAGAAGAAUUGCAAAAUUACAACAGUAAGUAUAGUCAACUUAUUCAUUAGAAGAAUUGCAAAAUUACAACAGUAAGAAUUGCAAAAUUAGCUGAUGCCUCUUAUGUUCAAUAAAAAUCAACAGUGCACUCAACUUGUGACUAUGAUCAUACUGAAUACACAAUUAAUACACACCAUACACACAUCCUAUAAACAACAAAGUAGCAAAAUAAAGAAAAUAGGUGAAAGUGUGGCCUUUUUUCUCAAACAUCCCAGCUUUCACCAGCACAGAAGCAAGUUUCCUGUAAUCUUUUGAUACAUCAGACACAUUACAAUAUUUGAUAUGGUAACCAUUAAAAAACUUGUCAAGACGGCCCCAAACAUUAGUGGGAUGAAAAGCGAUGAAUGCAUCAGUCACAUCCUGGCCAGCUUAGUCAAACCAUGGAUUUAUAUAUAAUGUGUAUAUCUACUACUUGCGCAUGUUCUUGCCCCCUUUAAAGUUGACAUCUUAUUAAAAACAAUAUAGUGAGAUACACACACACACACACAAAACAAAUUUCCAACAAAGUUCAAAUAAUACAAACAAAUAGUAUAAACUUAAAGUUCUUAAUACCUAAGCCAACCUUUAAUUUAUAAUUAUCAACUAAAAAAAAAAAGAAACAAACUUGAAACCAAGAUUUAUUUGUUUGUCUCUCACACUAAUUACAACUAUAACAAACCAUAUAAACAUAUAUCUAUAAUAUAACAACCUGCUGCCAGAGUUGAUCGAUCUGUGCGGCUGUUCAGCUUGCUUGUUGUGGACCUUCAGGUUCUGUUUUUCCGUUUCUCCAUGGCUCGAGGUGCUAAAUAUUUAUUCGAAAUUUAAAGUAUUACUGAUCUAGACACUAAAAGAUUAAAAUCUGAUCGAAUGUACAGAUAAUUUAACGGUUUCUUAAAUUCCCAAGUACUUACCGAGGUCCAUUGCUUCAGCUCCUUUCAUUAUGCGCAAGCGCUUGCAAGAACCAACAAACAUUCUGCAGAUUGAGAUUGUACAUGAGUGAUUCUUAUCUCAGAUAUACAUAAUUCUACUCGAAAAAUAAAAUAACUAAGAGAAAAUUAUAAGGCAUGUUUUUUUGGGAUUAUCUGUUCUUUGGGAGAUUCUAUCACACAUUUAAUAAAUUAUCAUAAUACUAAGAGAAAGAAGAAUAUGCAUCUUUUCCAAAAUAAUCCAAAAGAUAGUAUAGAGCUGAUGAGAUAUAUUCCCUGGUACAUGUAUUUCACAUCUAAAGGACCAACAAAUGCAGAUCAAUAUUCUAGUUAAUCCAUGAUAUCAGAUCCAUAAACUGAUAAUGCAGAAAAAUAUGUCUAUCUUACGUAAAACAUGAAAAAUGCCAUCAACCGCACGAAUGUCAGACAUGUUAUUGUUUCCAAGUCCUUGACAUUCAUGACCACCUUUAACCAGCCCAGCAAUAUCAUGGAUUUUUAGAAAAGCUGCUACCUGAUAAAGUGAAUAUAGUUGAUCAAACGGAAACUUAAGCUGACUAAUUAUAGUCUAACCACACAAUAAAUUGGUAACUAAAAUUUGCCAUGUAAACCUCACUGCUUGGUUUAUAUAUGUGUACUUUAUAGUAAAUAGCUUAUGUCAUCCGAUAAGCAUACAAUUCAUUCUGUUAACAAUCAUCUGAUCAUACUCGCACAUGCACAAAACUGAUGAAGAAAUUUACAUUUUUUCAUCUGAUGAAGAAAUUAUUUUCUAAAUAUAGUUAAUUGCAGAAAGUUAAAAGUUAAUCCCAAAAUGAAAUUUCAUAUUGGAUUACACACAUUUUAUGCAGGUCAGCACUGACCAUCUAACAUAUAUAUUGCGAUACAGCAAACAGAAUGCUUACUCAUGGGAUGAGAUCGUCAAUGUUUGGUGAAUGUCAAGAGCAGAUGAGAAUUGAGUGUCUUAUAAUCUCAUACACGUCAGCAUUACGUCUUUGUUCAUACCAUUCCUUGUGAGCAGAGGCCAAAUACGAACACACAAAGCACAGCCACAUUUGGAAAACAGACAUACUAAUGGAUACUAAUCCCUGUAUCAGAUGCCUAAAAUUACUUGUACAAAUAUAAUAAUACUUUUAGUUCUAUAUUACCAACAACACUUUAAGCAGUUAAGAGUAAAAAUACAAUUCCCAGACUCAAUGACAGGAACUAACCUUCUUCUCUACUUCCUCGUGAGGCACAUCAUAACAUAAAUCAUAACAUAAGAUUAUCCUAAAACACGUGAAUUUCUUAAAAUUGUCAAUAAUAAUUAUAGUAGAAAAAAUGUCAGAGGAGGUCAUUACCCUGACUACAAUGCUCAAAUUUAUAACACACAACCUGCACAAUAUUAAACAAAAUUAAGUUCAUAUAAAUAUUUGGAAAUUCAAGAUCUAAAAAUUCUGUGGCACAUUUUGUCAAACACCUAGCGGUGUACGUUUAGACAAAAUCAGGCUCAACAAUUCAAUCAAUUAAUCAAAUAAAAUGGAAGCACAAAACAAAGUUUUGAACAUACCUUCUUCUCCAUCAAUUCAGAAAGGGGGAAAGAGGGGAUAUUGGAAAUUAAUCCAUGACUUGCUUUGUCAAGCACUGCUGAGAUGGGUCACAGAAAAUUACCCAACCGUGGAGGCGGCAAUUUGAGAGUACUCUGUUCCAACUCCGGAGCCGGCAACUUGAGAUUACUACUGUCCAGAGAAUCCAUCAAUUAAAUUUUAAUAGAUUACAGCUGAAAAACGUAAAAAUUGGAGAAUUGAUAUAAUCAAUUAAGACAUCUGGAAAUAGAUCGAAAAACGGAAACAAACAAAGCAGGGGAAGAAGCUUUACCUCCGGCGAGAGAAUAAUGGAGAAGCGGGGGAAAGUCUGUAUAAAUUUUGAAUGCAGAUAAUUUAGGGUGAUAGUUUCGUACAGUGGAUGAGCAGCACGUGUAAUACAGAGCGAAGGAAAGAACGGCUUUGAUGGGAUGAGCGUAUGUAUAUCGUAUGUACACUGUGUUGUUUUUGGGAUUUAAGUGUAUAAGCAUGGGUCAUAUAGUCAUUUCAAAGGUAUUUUGGCAACAGGCUUUAUAAUAUAGAUAGAUUUGACAGCGAAUUUAUGAUCAAUAUUAUCUGUAUUUGUCAACGGAAUACUAUAUUUAGGCAGCUGAAUCGAAUUAAAGAUUUUAUUUUAUUCUAAUUCUGAAUUAGCUAAAUUUGUAUUGUGAUUUUAUAUAUAAUAAAAGAUAUAAAAUAGACUCAGCAACAGUUUAAGAUUGAAUAUAAUACUAUGUGUACGGUUGGAUAAUUCAGCAACAGUUUAAGAUUGAAUAUAAUACUCAGCAACGGUUGAAUAAAAUGAAUUGUAAUUCAAUUUAAUAAUUUUAAUUUGAAUAAUUAUUUUUAUGAAAAAUAAGUAUUAUAAUAGGAGUUUUUGUUGUUUGUGUUUUCAGUGGAUUACAGUCUAUUAAAUCCAUACAGGGGCCGUUUGGUUCGAUUCGGAGAAACGGAAAUCCAUACAGGGGCUGUUUGGUUCGAUUCGGAGAAACGGAAUGGAAUUCAGAAAGGGAAACGCGGAGAAAGGAAUGGAAUGAUCCUGAAUUGUUUUACCUGUUUGGUUUUGUUGCAGAAACGGAAUGAAAAUUUGUGUGAUUAAUUUUAUAUUCGAUAUUUUUAAUAUUAUAUAAUUUCAAAAAAGUUAAAUGUAUUCAUAUCUAUAACAAGAUGAUUUAUUUACAUUCUAAGAAAUUAAUACAAUUUAUUUAACCAUACUAUUAAUUUUGUAAAAUAAAUUAACAUGUGAAUUAUGUCACAAUUAUAUUUAACUAAAAAAACUAAAUUAAAAAUUAUUUUUAAUUCUUAAAAAUACUUUAUAUGAUAAUCUAUUAUUUUAAUUGUCUAAAAUAUGAAUUAUAACUUAAAAUAGAAAAAAGGUGAGGAAAGAGAAUCCAAAUACCUAGUUGGGGGUGGGGAAUGAGCAAUGAGCAAUAUUGGGUAAACCCACUAUUAAAAAAGGGGAAAGAGAAUGAUAAUUUUGUUAAAACAAACACGUACAAAGGGAAUCAAUCAGGCUGAUUACUUUUCCUGAAUACCCCUAACCAAACGGCCCCAUAGUGUUGACUAGAGAUUUUGUUGGUUGGUACUCCCUCUGUCCCAUUUAAUUGUAUACGUUUCUUUUCAACUGCUCGACACGCAUUUCAAUGCUCUUAUAAAAUAUAGUUCCGUAACUUAUUUUUGAGAUUUUCUUUUUCUGAAUAAAAAUAUAACAUCCAAACUUUAAUUCAGAAAAAGAAAAUUUUAAAAAUAAAUUACACAACUACACUUUACAGGAGCAUUAAAGUCUGUGCCGCGUCCCCGUCCCCCAAUGUAUACAACUCAGGGGGACGGAGGGAGUAGUUGGUUAUGUGAAUUGUAAAUUGGGUAUGGAAAAGAAAUAACUUAACAUUAUAUUAACAGCCGCUUGCACGAUACUCCCUCCGUCCCAGCCAAUUCUUUACGUUUGGUUUGGGCACGGAGGUUAAGAAAUAUGUAUAAAGUAGUGGAAAAGAGAAAGAAAAGUGGAUGAAGUGGUGGGACCCAUCAAUUUUUUAAUGAAUAAAAGAGAGAUAGUGGAGUAAAAGUAGUGUGAAAAGGGAGUAAAAGUAGUGUGAAAAGGGAGGAAAAGUUGGGAAGUGGUGGGACCCAUUGACUAUUUUUGGUAAGUUUUGGAAUGUAAAGAAUUGGAUGGGACAUCCAAAAAAGGAAACUGUAAAGAACCUGGUGGGACGGAGGGAGUAUUAAAUUACAGUACAUCAGAAAUAUUUACAGCCGUUUCUGCCAUAUUGACAGAUUUGAUGUUGACUUUGACCUCUGCAAGUCCAACUACAUACUCACUGUGGCGUAUCUAUCGUGCAGAAGAAUGACCAACUUCAGGACUCUGAAUAAAAUCUACUUAAAUUUAAUAAAAUCAAAAAAUAUAUCACAUAUAUCAAUCAUCAAUAUACUUAUAUAAAGGAAAAAGCGAAGGGCGUGUAGGUGGCGCCUCUCACAUCACUCCAUUCUAUUUUUCUAAUUUUCUGAAAUUUUUGGAUGAAAGAUAUCAAAAAAAAAUUGUUUCAGAUUAAUUGAUAUGGUAUAUAUCUUGGUAUAAAUUAAUCUGAUUCUAUUUCAGAUUAUUUAAUUAUGAAAAAGAGUAGCACACAAGUAUCUCUGCACCUAUAAAUACCUUUAUAGGUUGUAGGGUUUUGGUCCUUUUGGAUCAUGUAAACACAACCCACACUCUCUCUCAAUAUCACAUUUAGGGGUGUGCAUUCGGUUCGGUUAACUAAAAACCGAACCGAAUAACCAAAAUAAUUUCGGUUCGAUUAAUCGAAAUUUAUAUUUCGGUUAUACUUAUAUAAAAGAGAAGCGAGAGACGUGUAGAUGGCGUCUCUCAGAUAGCUCCGUUCUAUUUUUUAAAAUUUUCUGGAAUUUUUAGAUGAAAGAUAUCAAAAAAAAAUUUGUUGGGUGAUCGAUGUAUAUGCCUAGAUGUCAUCAAUCAGUUCUGUUAUGCUUUUUAUAUGUAGUGAGUGGUGUAUAUGUCUAAGAAGUAGUGUUUAGAAAAAUUAAUGACAAUGUUAGUCAAAAACAUGAUUACUUUUCAAAAAGAAAAACACAAUUAAAAUUAAAAUUACAAAUAUUAAUUUUGAAUAAUUCAUAUAAUAUUUAUAGGCCGCCGCAACGCGCGGUUUCUCAACUAGUAGUUUAUGAAAAUGUAACGUAUCCAAAUUCUGUUUUCAAUUUUUUUCUCAAAUGACGUGAUUGACAGACGGAUGAUAUCAGGAUUUUAAACUAUACUCAAAAAUCUGAUAAUAUUAAAUUAAAAUUAUUUAAAAUUCAUUAAAAUAUGAUGAUAUUAAAAAACUGAUGUAAUUUUUUGACUUCAUAAAAUAAAUUUUUGUUGUAUUUUAUAUUUAUUUAAAUCUUAUCAAAAUCUAUGAGAUUUUGAUACAUUGUGUUUAAAUCCUAAAUACUCUGCGGUGAGUAUAUUCGACUAUGAGUUUAACGGAUCAUAUGUAAUUUAUGAAUUUUAAUGGAUUGUAUCUGAUUUUGAUUUUAUGAGGAUUUUUGAUAAAAUGUCCAAAGUUGUUAUAGAGUUUUAAGUAUUUAAGUACAAUAUUUUAAAAUCUCAUGGAUUUUAAUGGAAUUUCAAAAAAAUUUAAAAUCUCUAUGGUGAGUAUAUUCAUCUUUGAUUUUAAUGGAUCAUAUAUAAUUUAUGAAUUUUAAUUUGGGAAAUCUACAAAACUACCUACCUUUUUUUUAUUGUUUUCAAAAAUACUACCUUCCAGAAUUAUUUUUAAAAAUACUUUUUCAUAAUUUUUUUUUUCAAAAAUACGGUUUGCAACUUUUGCAACCUCAUCUGCAACUACAGGCGGCGCCAGCCGUGUUGCAACCUCUUUUACAACUUCAUAUGCAACCGAAUUCCUGAUUUCAAGUUCCAGUUUUCAAAUGUCAUUUUCGACCUCAUUUUCGGAAUCGAUAUAUAUAUAUUCAUUUGCAACCUCAUUUGCAACUUUUGCAACCUCAUUUGCAACUUACAGUUUUCAGUUGAACUAGUUGCAAUUGCAGUUGCAACAGUUGCAACUUUCUAUUUUUAUUUGCAGGUUUUAACCAAUAAACAGGAAUCAUAAGAUAAAAAUAAUUAACAAAAAAAUAGGAUAUAUAAAAUAAGAAUCAUAUAUUGAUUUUAUAAUAAUGUUAAUGAUUCUUGAUUAGUAUUGUGUUUGACGGGCACGGGAGGCGGCCCAAACUAAUUUUUAUCUAAAUAAUAAUAAUUUUUUUAUUUAGUAUUAUGUUUGACGGGAAAGUGGCUAAUAUAAUUUUUAUCUAUGUUAUAAUUUUUUUUUGUUAAAACGGUGGUUCAAAAUAAUUACAAAAUAAAAUAAGAUAUAUAAAAUAUGAAUCAUAUAUUGAUCUUAUAAUAAUGUAAAUGAUUCUUGAUUAGUAUUGUGUUUGACGGGCACGGGAGGCGGCCCAAACUAAUUUUUAUCUAAAUAAUAAUAAAUUUUCUAUUAGUAUUAUGUUUUGACGGGAAAGUGGCUAAAAUAAUUUUUUGUCCAUGUUAUAAUAUAUUUUUUUUUUGUUAAAACGGUACCGCGGUUCAAAUUAAUUUUUAUUUCUUAAAUUUCGGAGAAAAAUAUAGUUAUAAUUAAAAAAUUCAGGUUCAAGAAUUCUUUAAUUUUAUAGGAUUGAGGGUGUAGGGCCGUUAGGCCCUACUCCCUCGAGCCUAAACCGUAAUUAAUGCGAGGCUGCAGGGCCGAAGGCCCUAAAGUCGAGAAACCGGCAGAAUAAAUAAAUUUACAAUCGUUAGCAUUUAGGUUUUAGGUUUGGGUUGCAGAAUGAUUAAUUCGUACUGUAUAUUAAAUUAAAAAGAUUAAUCUUAAAAAUAUAGAUUAAUAGUUUUUAAUACUUUAGAAUUCAUAUUUGGGUUUUAAAAUGAUUUAUUUAUGAUUGAAAUUAAAUCAAAUUUUAAAAAAUUAAAAAAAAUGACACUCUCAACGUGGGACGAACCCACGUUUUGAGUUUGCAACAAAAAGUAAUGUGGCUUUAACUCACGUUUUAGAGGUGAAAACGUGAUCUUAACUCACGUUUUUAAAGCCCAGCCCAACUAAACGCCAACUGAAGUGGCGUUUUACUCUAAACGUAAUAUGAAGCUGCGUUUUGUUGUGACAGUCAGGGCCAUUUUAACGAAACAUGACUAUGAGGGCCAUAUUGUUAUUUAAUGUGACUGUGAGGGCCUACACCCAAAUAUUCCAUCUCUUGCUCUUUCGGACCAACAAUAGCCCUAAUUCUGUCCCCAUUUGCCGUAUAAUGUAAUUACUUAACGACAUGUCCAUGAUUGUGGCUUGAACCGGCUUUCCCCAUCCAAAAUCCAUUUCAUACUGAGUAUAUAAGUAUUAAAUAAAUAUUAUAAUUAUUAUAUAUAUAGAGAGAGAGAGAAGAGAGACAAAAGUUAUUUAGAGUCCCACUUUAUUUGGAGUUCCCGGAGUCCCAAUCCUGACCCUCCAUUUUUCUCUCAUCUAAAUCAUUAACAACAUUAUCUUUCCAAAUUAAGCGCUCACUCAUCUCUUCCACGAUUGUAGCGUCAGUUUAUUUUGUUGCUGAGUUUGUGAAAGAGAGAUUAUCCUGCUAUUUGUUACUCAACAUGUCCUGCAUUCAUCUUCACUUCUUUUCUAGUUUCACGGUGGUUUCUUUAUUUCCUUCUCGAUUUACAUCGAAUCAUUACCGAAUUUUCUUAGCUUUCUCAUCUUUUUGGAAUCAUGACACUAUGAGAAAGGAUCUACUAUGUAAUUUCUGUAAAUAUUAUUUAGUUUUUUUAGUAUCCCGUGUAAACAAGAUUUCGUGUUGAGAAUGUUUUAGUUUGUUCUUUCAUGAACUUUUAUUAUAAUUCUUCUUUUUGUUAAAUUCAUUGUCAUGUAUUUAUUAUAAAAAUUCUAUUUUUUUUUCCUUGUAGUUUUUGAGGUGAGGAUAAUAUUUCUCAUCAGUUAAUUCAAUGUUGUUCUGCACUGGAUGUAAGUAUGCUAUGAUUAUGUAAAGUUACAAGGAUCCUGUUUAGAAGUCAAUGAAUUGUUCUGCACGCGCAGUUGUCCUGCCGUCUGAAACUAGACCGAAGUAGGACUUUAUAGUGUACAGUCAAGCUAUGAUUUGUAGUAUCAAAGAAUCUGCAGGAUAUCAGCCCCCAUUAAUUUAAAAAUCAAAACCGCCGAGACAAUCCCCGUUUUAUCAGUAGUUGUGAUAUGCACAGUUGUUUAGGACUCCAAGGACUCUAGAGAGAAUGGAUUUCUAAUUAAGGACUCUAGAGAGAAUGGAUUAUCAUAUAUAUAUAUAUAUAUAUAUAUAUAUAUAUAUAUAUAUAUAUANNNNNNNNNNNNNNNNNNNNNNNNNNNNNNNNNNNNNNNNNNNNNNNNNNNNNNNNNNNNNNNNNNNNNNNNNNNNNNNNNNNNNNNNNNNNNNNNNNNNNNNNNNNNNNNNNNNNNNNNNNNNNNNNNNNNNNNNNNNNNNNNNNNNNNNNNNNNNNNNNNNNNNNNNNNNNNNNNNNNNNNNNNNNNNNNNNNNNNNNNNNNNNNNNNNNNNNNNNNNNNNNNNNNNNNNNNNNNNNNNNNNNNNNNNNNNNNNNNNNNNNNNNNNNNNNNNNNNNNNNNNNNNNNNNNNNNNNNNNNNNNNNNNNNNNNNNNNNNNNNNNNNNNNNNNNNNNNNNNNNNNNNNNNNNNNNNNNNNNNNNNNNNNNNNNNNNNNNNNNNNNNNNNNNNNNNNNNNNNNNNNNNNNNNNNNNNNNNNNNNNNNNNNNNNNNNNNNNNNNNNNNNNNNNNNNNNNNNNNNNNNNNNNNNNNNNNNNNNNNNNNNNNNNNNNNNNNNNNNNNNNNNNNNNNNNNNNNNNNNNNNNNNNNNNNNNNNNNNNNNNNNNNNNNNNNNNNNNNNNNNNNNNNNNNNNNNNNNNNNNNNNNNNNNNNNNNNNNNNNNNNNNNNNNNNNNNNNNNNNNNNNNNNNNNNNNNNNNNNNNNNNNNNNNNNNNNNNNNNNNNNNNNNNNNNNNNNNNNNNNNNNNNNNNNNNNNNNNNNNNNNNNNNNNNNNNNNNNNNNNNNNNNNNNNNNNNNNNNNNNNNNNNNNNNNNNNNNNNCUAUAACUUCUAUUCUUUUAUGUUUAACUACGAUUCAAAAAAGAAUAGACAUUAGUAUUUACAAGAAAUUUCAUAUUGACUGUUAUAUAUAUAUAUAUAUAUAUAUAUAUAUAUAUAUAUAUAUAUCAUAAUGAUAAAAUGAUCAUAGAUGGAUCGGAUCAAUCUAUAUCUAUUUUCGAUCCACUAAAUAAUUGGAUGACUCUUGUCGAAUCACAUUAUUUUUUCGACGAAUUCAUAUCUAUUUAAAUAGGUUCAGAUCGAAUUGGGUCGGUUCGGAUAUCCUAUUCAUUUACUGGGAUCAACUGGCUUCUUGUAAGUGUAACAUUUAGCCACUGAGAAGUAGAAUCCCAAAUUUAUCAAACUUAACCCAGCCAACAUCCAGAAGAAAUAAUCCAAAUGACCAUAAUUCAGAUUAUCAGGAAUCCACCCUUCACCACCAUUUUUCGUGCUCAAAUCUGUGACAAUGCUGACAAGUAAUGUGCUCAGAUAAUUCCCCAGGGCCGCUGUGGUUAGCGACAAUGCUGAGCACAAGCUCCUCAUGGCAUCAGGAGCCUGCUCAUAGAAAAACUCAAGCUGUCCGAUAAAUGUAAAUACUUCAGCACAUCCAAUGAUGAAAUAUUGAGGGACUUGCCAAAAAAUGGACAUGGGAACAUGCUCAAGUUCAUAGUACUUGUGCUUCUUGACCAUUUUUAGUCUCACUAGCUCUAGUGUUCCAGCACACAGCAUCGCGGCAAUUGAGAUCACUAGGCCUAUUCCCAUCCGUUGUAGCUGGGAGAAACCGCUUUUGUGACCCGUGAUUCGUCUGGCAAAAGGCACGAUCACACGGUCAUAGACUGGAACCCAAAAUAUGACGCUGAUGGUGUCGAAGAGGGAUAGUGAGGCUGGUGGAAUCUGAAAUGAAGGGCCCAUUUGAAGGUCCAUUGUGUUGCCUUGAAGAACGAAUAAUGUGCCCAUUUGAGUGUAUGCAGCAGCAAAGAUGAUGCCUGAUGCCCAUAUGGGCAGCAAGCCUAUAAUAGACUUGAGUUCUUCGACUUGUGUAACGGUGCAAAGUCUCCAGGGACUGAUGGAAUCUUUAGGUUCAUCAGAGUGAGUCACUACAGCUGCCUUGUCGAAAAAACUGGAACCAGAGUCUAAGUGAUCAGAAAAAAAUUACAAGGAUGUUUGUACAUGAAUUUUACAUUGCAUUAUGUGCAUUCGUACCUCAACUUGUCAGUAUGAUCAAGUUUCCGGCUUCCUUUAAUAACAGAUGCUUCCACUGUAUUUGUCUCAUAAAGCAAAGACUUGUCUCUAGGCACCUCAACACGUGAUUUUCUGAUAGAUGCAACGACUGCCUGAAAGAUCCGAGUAAAUGGACUUCCACUAGGCCUCACAUUGCGAUACAAACGUGUGCCUGAAAAGAAGCUCACAACAGCAAUAGCCAUAGCAGCAGCAGGAAUGCCAAAGCCCCAGCCCCAGCUCACAUUUGUUUGUAUCCAGACAAGCACUGUGGCAGCAACAAGUGCACCAAUGUUGAUCGAAAGAUAAAACCAGUUGAAAAACGAACUCUUGCUUUUUUUCUCAGACUCAUCCGAAUCAUCAAACUGGUCUGCCCCAUAAGAUGACACACAAGGCUUAAUGCCUCCUGUACCAAGAGCUAUUAGGUAAAGUCCUGUGUAAAAAACCCCGAGUUGCAGGCUUGUCGGAUGACAAACGUGCUUGUCAUCACACAAGGGUUUCAGUCCAUGGACAGACGCUGAUAGAGCCAAUAUUGUCAUUCCCUGUAAAUACGAUGCACAAUCUGUCACCCCAAACAUAACAGCUGCUUAUACAAAAUAUGAUAAAUUAAGAAUUAAAAUUUACUUACGAAAACAUAGACAAUUGAUAAGGCAGCAAUUGUCCAGUAUCGACCAAGGUAAGCAUCAGCAAGAAAUGCGCCAAGUAGUGGCGUGACAUAACAUGUACCAGACCAGUUGGUGACAGUAUUAACUGCAACAACAUUACUUCGGUUUAAUUGGAACUUGAGAUAAUUCACUAAAUUAAUGUUGAUCCCAUAGUAUGCCAAUCUUUCACAGCAUUCAGUCCCUGUUUGAAAAUUGAACAGUUAAAUAAUUGCUGCACAUGAAGAUUUUAGAAGCGGUGAACAAGUGCUUUUUUUGAUCAAAUUGUCUGAAACUGUAAUAUGAACCUCAAUUCCCUCAAAACCCGAAAGAAAUACUAUGUGAAGUACCUAAUCGACUACUCAAACUAGGCAAACCUGCAACUUAACUUACUUACCAACUCAUUUGACUUCAAUUAACUGCUCUUUCAUUAAAGAUAACUUAGCUUGCUUACAAUUGUACAGCAAAUAAUCAAGACAGUAGUUCAAAUUACAGAAUGAAAUGAUCGAUAUGAGUAGAAAAGGACUAAACGAACCUAGGAUGUAAGGGCAUGCUUUCCAGGUUCCAGUUUUGUUUCUGAUAGUAGGGUUGUUACGAUAAUCAGUUGUUCCAUCUUUGGUAUACAUAUCUUCUUCUGCCUCUGCUAAAGCCAUAUAAGCUGUCAUUGCUUGUAUACUACUAAUAGAAGAUACCCGAAUCCGUUUACUUCAAAAAAUCUGAUCAGACUAUAGUUAGCAGCAUUCUUGUGGUUAUCAUUCAUUUGAAUGUACUAGGAUGACAUAAGUGUACGAGGUUUGUUAUCCUAUAUGAAUGUGAGGCUGCAAACAGAGACUUUUUCUGUAUCACUCAACCACUCAAUGAUUGCGUAGAAUGUCAAAUGAAUUGUUGGCCAUUCAUUUUCUUAUUUUGUUUCUUGUGAGGUUUCCUCACUACAAUUAGUAAGACCAGUCCCCACUAUGGUCCACAACUCUCUGAUACUCAUCGAAGACAGAAGUCAGGGACCGUCCUGCAAUAUCAUCAAACAUCUAACCGCGGAACCUUGUUCUAUAUUUUAAACAAAGGAUGCAUAACAAAGAAUAGAACAUAUUAGUUAUGGAGUCCAGAGAUUUAUAAAGGUUAAAGACCAAACAAUCCUGCAGCCUGCACACAUCUUCCCUCAUCCGCAAUGAACAAUAAAAGGCGAUUCCUGAUAAAAUGGCGUAUAAGAAAACUUCUUGUUCUCUCUCUUAUCUCUUAAGUCAUCACCCUGAUGAUUUCAGGUGUCAGUAAUUUUAAUCAUGCUGAUAUGUAAUGAAAAAGGCCUACUUUGGUAUUUUUGUUAUACCUGCCUCAUAUAGUACGUAAAUCCAAUUUUGCAGAAAAACUCCAAUUGGCAUGAUUUGAUGCUCCAUUUAAUCUUGCAGAAGACUAAAUGAUUAUGUGAGAAAGAAUGAAUAAUUAAUUAUGUAUGGCUUGGACCAUUUGAUUGAAUUUAAAUGAUUAUGUAUGGCCUGGAAUUUUUGAUUGAAUGUUGCAUAGCCUGGACCAUUUGAUAAAUUUUGUAUACUAAGUGCCAUUUGCUAUAAUUUAUAUCUAAUGACAUGAAUAUGUUUUCCCCUGUUUAAUACUAUAAACUUUGAUAUAAGAGUUCAUUUUAUGUUAUAACUCUAGUAUUUAUAUUGUUUCUUUUCAUAAUAUUAAGAUACUUUUCAGGUUUGUACUACUAGAUUCAUAUUACCUAUCUGCUUGUUGUGUUUCCAAGUUAUUUUGGGUUGCAACUUGCAAAUUAAAUUUUCGAUAUAAACCAUGUCAAGGAGGUGAAGCUAGCUCAGUGACAACACUCAUGUAAAUUAUGUUUUUAUUACUAUAACUUGCAGCUAGUUAUAAGUUGAGAGAAGAAUGUUCCAUUUUUAAUAUUCUGUAGCUUAAUCAUUCAUAAUAUCAAGUUUGCUUGCCACAUCAGACUGUCUGUUAUAUCAUGAAGUUUAAGAUAACAGAAUGAUAUAUACAUAGAGUUGAGUGAUUUUAGUGAGCCCUCAUGGACUUUGAUGAGUUAAAUGAGACAUUUUAUUCACUUUAGUGAGCAUCUCGAUAUUUAAACCAUUUUAUUCCAUGCCUUGUCUCUUUUGUUUUGCUUGCCUGAAAUAGUAUGGAAGUUGUUGCAGAACAUCUCAAAUUCGCUGAUUUUCAUGCCAUGCUACAACGGUGCAAGGUACUGUUUUCAUUCCUCUGUUAUGUAAGCCAGCAGCAUCCUACUCUUCUUCAUUAUCAUACUUCUGAUAGUAACUUCAGAUAUGGUAACUUUGUUAUUAAGCUAAAACCGAUGAACAUAAAUGAUCACUGAUUGAGUCGAAUUGUAUAGUUAAAACUUAAAAAUCAAAGGCGUCACAAAGAUUUCAUUUUGUUGCUACUUGAUAAUUGAUUUAAACUCACGUAUUCAGAAUUGAAAUAAGUACUUAAUGCAACCUUGUUUUCCAUCACUGGCCAGGGCCAAGUCCUCCUCAAUCCUCAUGCUGGAGUUGGUUGUGCCGCUGCCAUAUAACAUAUCCGAAUCCUUUUACUUCAAAGAAAUCUGAUCAAACUAACCUCCACGAAUCUUUGAUACUCAUUAAUGACAGAAGUCGCCUCAUUCCUGCAAUAUAGUCAAGCAUCUAACCGCGGAACGUUGUUCUGUACUACAACAAAAGAUGCAUAAAAAAGAAUCAAUCAUCUUAAAUACGGAGUCCAGAGAUGCAUAUAAUCCUGCAACCUGCACACCUUCUCUAAUCCGCGAUGAACAAUAUUAGGCGAUUGCUGAUAAAAUGCUGUAUAAGCAGAAUUCUAGUUUUCUCUCUUACCUCUUAAAUUAUCACAGUGAUCAUUUAAGUUGUCAGCAUUAUAAUUUCCGAUUAUUAUUUCUCACCCCUCCAUAUGAUCCAACUUCAAAAUUCAGAUACAUCAUCCAACUCAGAUCCUGUCCAUAUAGUCCAACUUCGAAAUUCAGAUACAUAGUCCACCUCAGAUCCUGUGGUUAGACCUACUUGGAAGACAGUGGAUACUUGUUAGCUGUUACCCACAGUUGCUCUUGUAAUGAGUAAUGUACUUUAAAAUCUUACCUUUCAAACAAUGCAUAAUCAUUAUUUAGACCAAGCUAUGUACUCUUCAAAUAUCAUCAUUACAUAUAUCAUAUGAGCAAUUUCCCAUCUUAUGUUGUUCAAUUCAAACAUGAUAAGGCAGGAAGUUGGUCCCUCACAAGCGAUUGUCUCAGUGCUUUUUUCUUCUUCGUGCCGGAAGAUAAAAAAAAAAAAGAAAAAAAAGUAGCCCCAUUAUUUACAUAAAAAAAAUAGGGUUAAAGCUAUUAAAAGAAAAACCCGCUUAAAGAUAGUUGCAUCAAUCGUCUGUCAGGACCCGGACCCUAUAAUAUAUGAUGGUUCAUUGGGACGUCCUCUAAGGUACAGUUCGUUACCCUCGAAUCUUGGGUCUAGUUUGUCAAUCAAGGUCACAAUUUAUCAAUGGUCCUGGACCAAGUACUUGCUAUCUUCUAACAGGAAGAAUUUUUUUCAGCGCUUUGUUAGCAACAUGCAGAAGACCGGUGGCAUGUCGAAAUCCUAGCUACUACAAGUCUACAACUAAAAUUUGCAUAUCACUUCUAUAUUACUCUGACGGUGAUUGUUUAGUACCAUCAGCAUCUCAACAAAGAUACAGUGCUAUAACUUUCGGAUCGUAAAAAACACGUGUCACGGGCUUCAAUCAUAAUAAAAAAAAAAAAAAAAAAAAAAAGAGUUUCGGGNNNNNNNNNNNNNNNNNNNNNNNNNNNNNNNNNNNNNNNNNNNNNNNNNNNNNNNNNNNNNNNNNNNNNNNNNNNNNNNNNNNNNNNNNNNNNNNNNNNNNNNNNNNNNNNNNNNNNNNNNNNNNNNNNNNNNNNNNNNNNNNNNNNNNNNNNNNNNNNNNNNNNNNAAAAAAAAAAAAAAAAAAAAAAAAACGAGUUUCGGGUAUAUUUUACUAGAAAAAUCUUCUAAACAGGAUCUUCUAGUAGUCCACGCUUCAAUCUUAAAAAUGGGUUUUCGAACAAAAGAAUGUAUUGUCCCAUGUUCAUAAUUUAUUAAUUUACGUGUUAAGAACGAAAUUAUUUUCAUAAACUCCGAAAUUAAAAAAAACAGCGCUGGAAAUAACAUUUCCUCGUGAAUACGAGAUAUGUGUGUUAUGUUAGGUUGUAACAGCAAGUAUGGUAGAUGUUUCGAAAAGCUUCUCCAUGAUGUAUACAAAAUUCUAACCCAGACAUUGAAAUACAAAGUAUAUGAUUAAGAAAUUUGUAACACAUAUUGAUAUUUAAUUUGUUUUCGUUAUUUAUAUUCUUUUGUGAACUGGAAUUUGGUGGUUAAGAAGAUAAAACUAGCAUACUUUAUGUAACAAGCAAGGAAAGAUUGGCAAAAUUUCCUGAAUUCUCAUUGCUUUUUUAAUAAGAAUUUCUAUUCAUUCACCUAAAACGAAAAACGACAUUGCAGCAGUAUUCUGUAGUUAUCUGAUAUGCAUAUAAAGGCUGAAAUGCUGAGACAUUUCUCAGUACUUAGAACAGAUUAAGUUGCAGACAACUUAAUCAACGUCGAAAAUGGAGUCCUGGAUUCGAGUUUUGAUGUUUGCAGCAUGCCUGUUUCCUGUUUUAGUCGAAUGCAGAGUUCGACAUUACAAAUUCAACGUAAGAAUCUCCCAACUAAUUUUCAGACAGGUUUUAUAUGUUAUGAUACUAAUUCUGCAACCUCUGCUUGCAUGAUUUUAUGCAUGCCAAUUUGCCAUGCAAAGUAUAUAAAACUAAGAACUUACCGUUAAGGGAUAGCUUAUCUGGUUAAGAGUUUAUCCUCUGUCGUCACAGGUCCUGAGUUUGACCCUGAUUCAGGUCCUGGCUUAUAAGGCUAUAAGCCAUAUUUGUCAAAACAAAAAAAGAAGAACUUACUAUUAAGAGUGUUUUUCUUAGUACAGAAAGAGCUAACAGUUGGGGUUUUGAUUAAUUUUGUGAAGGUGGUGAUGAAAAAUUCGAGCAGAUUGUGCUCAACAAAGCCAAUUGUGACGGUGAAUGGACGAUUCCCAGGUCCUACUUUAACUGCCAGAGAAGGAGACACAGUGCUAGUGAAGGUUGUCAACCAUGUCAAAUACAAUGUUUCAAUCCACUGGUAAACUCAAACUUAUUUCAAGUUCUGAACUCAUUACUUGGAACUAUGGAUGGAACAGCAUUGUAAUGUUGUCGAAUGCAGGCAUGGAAUUCGACAGCUGAGAACAGGGUGGGCGGAUGGGCCAGCUUACAUCACACAAUGCCCUAUUCAGCCAGGGCAAAACUAUAUUUACAACUUCACAAUCACAGGCCAAAGGGGUACUCUGUUGUGGCAUGCACAUAUCCUAUGGCUACGUGCAACAGUACACGGUGCCAUCGUGAUACUUCCUAAGAGAGGCGUCCCAUAUCCAUUUCCCAAACCCGACAAGGAAGCUGUGGUCAUACUAGGUAAUUAAAACCGCGACAAAUAUCAAAUAACAGUAAAAUUAUGCCUUUAUUAAGAAAUGGAGGUUCUGAUUAAAUGUUGUAAAUUUGUGAAGCUGAAUACUGGAAAGCAGAUACGGAACUUGUGAUCAACCAAGCACAGAAAUCAGGAUUGGCGCCAAACGUCUCAGAUGCACAUACAAUCAAUGGCAAACCAGGACCAGUCCCUAACUGUUCAGCACAAGAUGCAUUUAAACUGGAUGUUGAGGCAGGGAAAUCUUACAUGCUACGUAUCAUCAACGCUGCACUCAACGAAGAACUUUUCUUUAAAAU
This 50038-nucleotide long non-coding RNA is filed under the name Daucus carota (carrot). RNAcentral's name for it is "long non-coding RNA (DCAR_LNC005384)". Lineage: Eukaryota; Viridiplantae; Streptophyta; Magnoliopsida; Apiales; Apiaceae. The record is from RNAcentral.